This 56339-nucleotide long non-coding RNA is filed under the name Olea europaea (common olive). RNAcentral's name for it is "long non-coding RNA (OEUR_LNC008961)". The record is from RNAcentral. Lineage: Eukaryota; Viridiplantae; Streptophyta; Magnoliopsida; Lamiales; Oleaceae.
CUUCCAAUAAGUACAAAAUAAUAAAAUUACAAGUCACGACAAUAGCACAACUUUAAGUUUUAAUACUAGCUGUUUGAUAUUUACAAGUGGAGCAAACAUGACUAAUUUUUUUUAUAGUUGGAGCCUUAGACAUUAUAGGGACAAAAGUUGACAUCUCCAUUUGGUAUAGCAUUGUAUAGACCUUCAAUAUUUCUCUAACUUUAUACAAACUUACACAAGAAAUUAUUUUUAAAACAAGAAUGAUCGAUAUUUUCCCUUUGCCUUUCAUUGCUUUUUUUCAUUUUCAAGCGCUUUCAACUAACUUCUUAUGGUCAGCUAGAUAACAAAUUAAAUCCAUAACAUAUCCUUGAUGGCCAUAACUGCAAUUAACAUAAAAAUUGUAAAUUUUUUAUUAAAUAUCAAAUUUUGUACAUUAUUGAUAAUAAGAUGUAUAUCGUUAUGGUUUGUAGAAAACAAUAUGUAAAACGUUCUGGACGGAAAAAAUGAAAUACAUGUUUCAUAGUAAAACAACAAAUAGAAUCGCCAAACAUCUGUUUACCAAAAUAUUCACUUAAAAAAUAAGAGCUAAUGACAAACUGGGAAAGGAACCCAUAUCCAAGCUAUAAUUCGAUGAUAUAAAAAAAAAUUAAAUAAAAAAAUCAAAGCCAUUACUAACAAAUUAACAACAUAAACACGAAUCACAACAUGUGGUUCAAAAAAUUUGAGAAAGAAAGUAGCCAAAAUAUUGAAAUUUAACAUUACAUUCUCUUCCUUCUUCAAAUACCCAUCAAGAAUAUUAUAGACUUUCAUUACUUACUUCAACCGAGUGAGUGUUUAAGAGAAUGACAAUAGUAUAUUUUGGGAAUGACAAUAGUAUAUUUUGGAAUUUCAUGAAGAAAAAGAUGAUGAUAAAAAGAAGAAGAAUAACAGAGAAUGGCCUAUCAACUUGUGGAAGAAAGGAAGUCAAAAUUGAAUUAGGACUAAAUGGAAAUUGAAAGGGGAAUUGGGACAUUAUGUCUUUCCCAUACAAGGAUAUUUUAGUAAUUUCAANNNNNNNNNNNNNNNNNNNNNNNNNNNNNNNNNNNNNNNNNNNNNNNNNNNNNNNNNNNNNNNNNNNNNNNNNNNNNNNNNNNNNNNNNNNNNNNNNNNNNNNNNNNNNNNNNNNNNNNNNNNNNNNNNNNNNNNNNNNNNNNNNNNNNNNNNNNNNNNNNNNNNNNNNNNNNNNNNNNNNNNNNNNNNNNNNNNNNNNNNNNNNNNNNNNNNNNNNNNNNNNNNNNNNNNNNNNNNNNNNNNNNNNNNNNNNNNNNNNNNNNNNNNNNNNNNNNNNNNNNNNNNNNNNNNNNNNNNNNNNNNNNNNNNNNNNNNNNNNNNNNNNNNNNNNNNNNNNNNNNNNNNNNNNNNNNNNNNNNNNNNNNNNNNNNNNNNNNNNNNNNNNNNNNNNNNNNNNNNNNNNNNNNNNNNNNNNNNNNNNNNNNNNNNNNNNNNNNNNNNNNNNNNNNNNNNNNNNNNNNNNNNNNNNNNNNNNNNNNNNNNNNNNNNNNNNNNNNNNNNNNNNNNNNNNNNNNNNNNNNNNNNNNNNNNNNNNNNNNNNNNNNNNNNNNNNNNNNNNNNNNNNNNNNNNNNNNNNNNNNNNNNNNNNNNNNNNNNNNNNNNNNNNNNNNNNNNNNNNNNNNNNNNNNNNNNNNNNNNNNNNNNNNNNNNNNNNNNNNNNNNNNNNNNNNNNNNNNNNNNNNNNNNNNNNNNNNNNNNNNNNNNNNNNNNNNNNNNNNNNNNNNNNNNNNNNNNNNNNNNNNNNNNNNNNNNNNNNNNNNNNNNNNNNNNNNNNNNNNNNNNNNNNNNNNNNNNNNNNNNNNNNNNNNNNNNNNNNNNNNNNNNNNNNNNNNNNNNNNNNNNNNNNNNNNNNNNNNNNNNNNNNNNNNNNNNNNNNNNNNNNNNNNNNNNNNNNNNNNNNNNNNNNNNNNNNNNNNNNNNNNNNNNNNNNNNNNNNNNNNNNNNNNNNNNNNNNNNNNNNNNNNNNNNNNNNNNNNNNNNNNNNNNNNNNNNNNNNNNNNNNNNNNNNNNNNNNNNNNNNNNNNNNNNNNNNNNNNNNNNNNNNNNNNNNNNNNNNNNNNNNNNNNNNNNNNNNNNNNNNNNNNNNNNNNNNNNNNNNNNNNNNNNNNNNNNNNNNNNNNNNNNNNNNNNNNNNNNNNNNNNNNNNNNNNNNNNNNNNNNNNNNNNNNNNNNNNNNNNNNNNNNNNNNNNNNNNNNNNNNNNNNNNNNNNNNNNNNNNNNNNNNNNNNNNNNNNNNNNNNNNNNNNNNNNNNNNNNNNNNNNNNNNNNNNNNNNNNNNNNNNNNNNNNNNNNNNNNNNNNNNNNNNNNNNNNNNNNNNNNNNNNNNNNNNNNNNNNNNNNNNNNNNNNNNNNNNNNNNNNNNNNNNNNNNNNNNNNNNNNNNNNNNNNNNNNNNNNNNNNNNNNNNNNNNNNNNNNNNNNNNNNNNNNNNNNNNNNNNNNNNNNNNNNNNNNNNNNNNNNNNNNNNNNNNNNNNNNNNNNNNNNNNNNNNNNNNNNNNNNNNNNNNNNNNNNNNNNNNNNNNNNNNNNNNNNNNNNNNNNNNNNNNNNNNNNNNNNNNNNNNNNNNNNNNNNNNNNNNNNNNNNNNNNNNNNNNNNNNNNNNNNNNNNNNNNNNNNNNNNNNNNNNNNNNNNNNNNNNNNNNNNNNNNNNNNNNNNNNNNNNNNNNNNNNNNNNNNNNNNNNNNNNNNNNNNNNNNNNNNNNNNNNNNNNNNNNNNNNNNNNNNNNNNNNNNNNNNNNNNNNNNNNNNNNNNNNNNNNNNNNNNNNNNNNNNNNNNNNNNNNNNNNNNNNNNNNNNNNNNNNNNNNNNNNNNNNNNNNNNNNNNNNNNNNNNNNNNNNNNNNNNNNNNNNNNNNNNNNNNNNNNNNNNNNNNNNNNNNNNNNNNNNNNNNNNNNNNNNNNNNNNNNNNNNNNNNNNNNNNNNNNNNNNNNNNNNNNNNNNNNNNNNNNNNNNNNNNNNNNNNNNNNNNNNNNNNNNNNNNNNNNNNNNNNNNNNNNNNNNNNNNNNNNNNNNNNNNNNNNNNNNNNNNAAAAAAAUAUUUUUUGAUAAUGAUUGUCAAACGGGGGCUAAAUAUUAGGAAGUAGUUAAAAGCAUCAAGAACAUAGGCUUUAGGGUUAAUUUUAGUACUUGAAGAGAAUCUCCAAAUCGGGUUCCUUUUUGUUCCUUUCGAUAGAAGUUGAAAACUUGAAAUAAAAAAUUUGGUAAGUCACUCGACCCGCACCGGUAAUCGCGAGGAUGAUUGCGUCCUCACAUGGGAUGCGUGGGUCUCAAGUGAAUAAAAAAAUAUUGACCCCUCAUGUGUAUGGUGUGUCAAUUCCGAGAUCAUUCUGUUGGCGCUGUAGCAUCAAUCAAACACUUGAUUGCUAGCUGACAGAUGUCCUCGGAUGAAAGAUUGGAUUUUUUUAUGUCAACCUCAAAAGAAAUGAGAUAAGGUUGAAAGCUACAAUACUAACUAUUUCUAAGUAUCAUAAUUAUGUUGUUAGUUGCACGAUAGCAACUUUAACACGUAAUAAGUUUCAAACAGUAAUGAGUGAUGAGAGACAAAACUAUAACUUCGUUUGUACUAUGAUUAAGUGCACUUGCUACGCAACAGAAUAAGGUCACUAGAAAAAUCAUGAGCGGAUUAAUAUCCUCUAGUCACAGACCUAUAGGACAAAGUUAAACUCAUUCAAAAAAUUAUUAUUUUAUCGACUCAAAUGAGAAAAUAUUAAACAAAGCCAGACAUACACGAUCUUAAUUUAAACAGGUAGUGAUACCUUUUACGGAUAUAAAGUACGAAAGAUUUAGAAUAUGUGUAGUAACACGCGAUUAGUUUGCUUUUUGAAAUACUCCUUUAGUUUACACUACUAACGCGGUCGUCAGAGUGUUCUAGAUGAGAAAUUAAGUUACUGUCGAGCUAAUUUUGACCGUCUAUAUCAUUGAUAUUAAACUUAGAACAUGUCGAUCUAAUGCUAAAUAGUGGACAAGUACACUUUCAUAUCAAGAAAGUUGUACAUUAAACGUGGUUUAUAUGAUCUCUAAAAGAUUGGUGUUUUCCCCCAAAUACUGGAGUUUGGUAAAUAUGGUUAACAUAUUAACUAUUUCUACAUAUUUUGGAAUGUUUGUUGACAGUUGAAAAAAACAAUAUUACCAGAAUGUUAUAAAGAAAAAGGAAAGAAAGAAAAAAAAAAGUUUUAAAGAUAAAAAAUUCUUAAUUUACUCCUCUUCUCGUCUCUUAUUAUGCACAUUUUGCAUAUUUGCUGCCAUAUGAGUCAAAGUUGGCCCGGGUUAGAGUUAUUCUGAGCCACUGCCCGCUUCAGCAACAAAAGUGGCAUAUUUUGUUGAUACAAGUCAAAGUCAUUUUAAAAUAGAUUUCUUCACUGACCUUGGUAGUGGGUAGGGCACUUUAGUCAGGGUUGGAUCUAGGGACGGGGUCGGCUGGCCUACAACUUGUUCUUCCAGCCCAGAUGUUAAUUAAAAAAUUAAGUAAUUUUUUUUUUCUGCGUAUUAGUCCGUCCUGAAUUUUUUUCUGGAUCCACCCUACGAAUAGCCCAUGCUCAUGAUACCUGGUUUUCUUCGCUAUUUGUUAUUAAAGAGAACAAUUAAGAUAAAUAUAGUGUAGAUAAUUAUUUUAUGUUCUACAUAGUAUCAAAGAUUCGAUCCAAAAAAAGGAAACCAUGUCCAAGUCUACCACUUAUGCAAUACCAACCUUUGUUUCCACCCUUUUCCCUCUUAAACUGUGUCAGGACUCUUAUCUCCUCUUUCUAUUUAAUCAAUCACAAAAUUUACAACUGAAUCACCAUCGGUUAUUUGUUCAAACCACUCAGUCUUGCGAUGCCUCAAAUCAUUGACCAUAUAAAGAAUUCUGCUAAUUUUGUCCAUUAUUGCUCAAAGGAAGUGCUAUGUGUACACAAUGGUGUACAUACAACAUUACAUCUCCCCUCACUUAAAGGAGGCCCACAUACAAUAAAAUAUUCGUGGAUUCCUUUCUAUAUGAGGGGGUGUAAUCCAUUAUUCAUGGUGUACACAUAGAAUUAUCCAUCAAAUCUCCUUACGAUUUGACGAUACUAUAUUUGGUGACAGUACCAAUCUACGAUUACCAUACUGUUGUGCUUUACUUUCCCUCUUCCUCUCACUAUUUUAAAUUAUCUAAGGUCCAUUUUAUAGCAUCUAAUUCCAUGAAAAAUGUCUCAUUCGAGAAAUUUAUUUUUUACUAUAGCUAUUUGAUACGAAAGUGGCAUUUGAGUUCGAAUUUCAAGAUAAAAACACUUAAAACAUAUUUUUACCCAAUUUCAUGGAAAUCGAAUUCUUAUGAUUUUGGUGAUUUUUUUCUUUUUCAACGUAGGUGGAAUUAGUUUAUCUUUUCCACGUUUACAAUCAAACAGACCCUAAUAUCCUUUGUGUUCCGGAGAUGAAAUUUUUUUGUUUUUAUUAUUAUUAUUAUUUUUUUCCAUUUCUACGUUUUGUCAAACAAAUCAGAUAUCAGUUGAAUUUUCUACAUCUUCUUUCCACGUGAAGGACCGAUGGAAUGUAUACGUGGCCCUACACAUUUAUUCCUCUCCACCAAUUCUUGUCCCAUUGUGAUAAGAGCAAAUGCACCAAGUCAUUCAAGCUUCCAUUUUCAGUGUCAACUAUUAUCAGCACCGCCCACACACACUGUCAUUUUCUUCGAUCUUGGGAGAUCACUUGUUGAAUCUAUCAAACGAAAUAAAUCCGACAUUAUUUUCAUUGAUCAUUUCAUAAAUAUAUUUCUGAUUUAUAAUUUUAUAUUUAUGCUCCAAAGCAAAAAUGAGAUGUGCAUGACAGUUUUAAACCUAUUGUUGAAGAAUUCUUUAAUGCUCACAUACGUACUCUGGUUAUAUUUUUCUUGCCUCUUUCAUAUUAGAUAAUGGCAUUUUGCAACUUACUACACCCCGUCGCACACUAUAAUACAAUGGCUUCUCUCAGGGGCAGACCUAGACUUUUAGUACUGUGGGUUCAAAAAUUAAGAUAUACUUUAAAAAAAAAAACAUAAUAUUAAUUAAAAUAAGUUAAUACGUAUAAACGUCAUAUAAUUACAUCAUAUCAAUAUUACUAAAUAAAAUUUGCUACUUGUUUAGUUUUGUUUACCAAUUCACUGACAAAUGCUGAGCCGACUUCGAGUAAGUCGAUUUGAAUGUAAAAUGUAAAUGAAUUGAAUAAAAUCCGAGAUGUAAAUGAAUUCAAAUUUGAGACAAAUGUAAUUACAUUUAAUCUAUAAUAAUAAUAAAACUUUUGACAUUAUUCCUUAUAAAACUUUCUAAUAAAAUGAUAUAAAUAAUAUUGAAAAAUUUAUCGCGCAAAAAUAAUAAACAUUAAUAAAAUAAUUGAAUUUUUUUAAAAGAAAAGACGAGUUGUUCUUUUUUGAGACGUACAUUUAACGCAUAUUUAACUAUUUUUUAUGUCCGUUUGAACCAUUCAAUAUAAAAACGAUGUAAUUCUUAAAAUGAGCUUCUACAGGACGAACGAUUUGUGGAUUCGGAUAGCAUAUUAUCGCCAAUUAAUUUUGAAAAUUAGCAUAUUAUUGAAAUUUUCGAAAUCCUAGUUUCAAAUGGCUUACUUUGGGGUGUCGUAACUUUUGUUAUGGUUGACCAUUUCAAACACCUUUUGUAAGCAAAAAAGUAGGCCACGAACACUUCGAAAUGGAAUUAAGAAUGCAAUAUUUCAACUUUAUUUGACAUCCCGUAAUGAGUGCAUCAAAGUAGGUCGUAAAGGGAUCAAAACAACUAUUUUUUGUGAAAAAAAAACAAAAAACAUAAAAAAAAAAAAAGGAAAUCAAGGGCAAAAAAUAUGUGGGGUCAUUUGAUCCCACAUGACCCCAUGUGGGUCUGCCCAUGGCUUCUUUAAACGCCCUAACACAAUCACAUAGUAGAAACUGAUCUUGCACUCUACCAUGUGUCUGUCCUACUCUUAUUAAGGUAUCUUGUUAAGCACAAUCUUGUAUAUUAUAAAUCUUAUGUCCACGUCUAGUCUACCCAUAAAUCCCCAGUAGAGUUAAAGACUAAUGCUCAGAUUAUGCUAAACUCGAUGUUGUUUGUUAUCUUUGAUAGUCGUGGUUAAAACCAUACACCGACCACAAGUUAGGACAUCCGUCACGUCCAUUGUAUUUUUUGGAUAAUCUCUCUCCAAAGCAGGGGUGGAUCUAGGUUCCACGUUCAGCUAGGACAUUUCACUUUGACUUUGACCAUUGAUCAUUGAUCGUCGAUAAUCAACAAUCGUAUUAAAAUUUGAUUAAAUAAUAUUAAAAAUUGUUAGAUAUAUAUGUAAGCAUUAUAUACAUAUGAAAAUAUAGUUCAAUACAACCCGAAAUACUAAAAAAAUAUACGAUAGAACCUUACUCUGUAACUAUAAACUUAGACAACUGAAUUCUACGGGGUCUCAUAUUUUAAAAACGUUGCAAUAUUGCCUCAUUCUCAACUUAAAAAAAAAAAAAGAUCUUUCUCCACAUAAACCACCAAAUGGUCAUUGAACGACUCAUUUCCCAUUUUGUUGCACAAGUCACUCUUGAUUAAAUUCACAGCGGAGAAUACCCUUUCAAAACUUGCAGUUGCCACAGGUAAUAUCAAAACCAAGGUGAUCAGCCUAUAAACCAAUGGAAAAUAACAACUACUUCUAGUUUCAAUCAACUUCUGAACUACACAAGAUAUGCUUUUGAGGUUAAAGAAAGCUUCGUCCAUUCUCAUAAGCAUAACAAACUUGUCAAGUUCGGGUCUAAGUAAUAAAAGCUCGUCACUAUUGAAGUCCAAAGGAUAGAACUGGGGAAGACGUACCAAUUUAGCCUGAUCAAAAGCUGCAAAUGAAUCUCUUGGACUUAAACACGAAAUGCAAUCAAAGAGCUCAAUAGUUGUUGCUGAAAAACGAUCAUUGAAUUCUUGCAAGAUUGAGUCUAUCACAUGACAAAACAAAUUGAGCUGCACGCCUAGGUCGACCUUUCAUUACUACAAUAUCUUCCAUAUUGGGUACUGAAAUAUGUCUAUCAACAUAAAACUCAAUUACCUUACUCAACAAAGUAUCCCAACCAUUAUCUCUCUUAUUCUGUAAUGCAUACGUACACAACUUCAAUAACCUCAUAGUAUUCUGAAUAUCUUGAUCCUUUUUUUUGUAAGGCUUGUGAAAGGUUGUUUGUAGGUUCAAGAAUUUUAAACAUAAAGUGGAGACUGCACACAAACUUAAAAUCUUGCAUAGUAUUCAUCUGUCUUACAGCCAUUGAUUUUUGACCUAUAUUUUUGUCAUCUUCUGAUAUAUUUUCAAGAACAUCUAUGACGGCAUUGAAUAUACUAAUAAAGCGAGUAAUUGUCAGUAGAUGUGAGCCCCAUCUAGUUUCACCUGGGUGUGCUAAACUCAUUUCUUGGAACUGAUUAGUUCCAUUAGUAAGUUCCCCAAUAUUAAGCUUCUCCAGAAUAUUAGCAUAAUAACUUGCUCGAAGAGAAUCUACAAGCUUACAUGAUGCACCAACCAAAUUCCCAAUAAUAGCAAGCAUGUUAAAAAAAUCACCAAGCAUAUGAUCCGUACGUGCCACAGUAACAACUGCCAACUGAAGCUGGUGAGCAAAGCAAUGGAUAUAUAUAGCAUAUGGAUUUUCUCUUAAAAUUAAAGCUUUUAAGCCAUUGAACUCACCUGACAUAUUGCUUGCUCUAUCAUAACCUUGACUUCUCAGGCUAGAUAUGCUCAAUCUAUAUGUAGAAAGCAUUGCAUCAAUGGCAUCCUUCAGUGAUUGGGCACAAGUAUCCGUAACAUGAGAAAUGCCCAACAAACGCUCCUUCACUUUCCCACUCUUGUCAACAAACCUUAAAACAACUGCCAUUUGUUCAUUUAUAGAAUUAUCACGAGUCUCAUCAACCAAAAUUGAAAAUAAAGAAUCACCCAUCUCAUUGAUAAUAGACCUUCUCGUCUCUAUGGCACAAAGUUAACCAAAUCCUUUUGGAUGUUUGGUGAAGUUAUUUGGUCAUUUCCAGAAGCGUUACUAAAUAACACUUCUUCAAUUUCUUUACGACGAACUGCAUACCAAUUUAAUAGCUCAAUUAAAUUUCCUCUGUUAAGAGACUCUUUGGAUUCAUCAUGACUACGAGAUGGUAAUCCUUACAUCAAGAGAAAUCUAGUACAAUCUAACACCGCAGUCAACCUUGUCCUAUAACUAUUUUGUUGACUACUCCUCUAGCUAGAAAUAACAUUGGAGAUACUUUGCUUUUGAUUCAUCAAACUGGUACACUUUGUAAAAGAUUGAUUAUGAGCACUAUAAAAGAGCCCAACAUGAUCUUUCAAUGUCUUUUUGUGCUUCCAAUCCCUAAUGCCGGUCUUGGUGAAUAUAUGUCCACCCCCUUGACCCUCUCUAUCAGGUUUGAACAAGUAGCAAUGCAAACAAUUAGCUGCAUCCUUUUCUAUACUGUACUCUAACCAAUGAAAUCCAGAAAACCAUUCUUUCCGAAAACACCUAUUAUCAUUUCCCAUCAGUCUUCUUAGAAAGUCGUGCCCAUAUGGUUGAUAGGACCUUUCUCCAAGUAUGUCAUUCUAAUAUCAUCUCUGAUAUUAGGAUCAUAUGACUCGACAGGGGGACGUUUCCCUAGAUCAGAUACAAGAUCAUCAACAUUGAAUUGAGCUCGAGACUUCUUUGUGUUAUUUAACAACACGCGUACUUGGCUAGAAGCAGUGGCCGGACUAGAAGCACAAUUAGAACUAGGAAAACUAGGUAACGACUUUCGUUUCGGUUGAAAUAAUAGAUCAAUAAUCUGCAAAAUGCCUCCAAUUUAAUUUUCGAUUAGAAUUGAUUAAAAAAUCACAAUUCUUAGUAAUAAUUCCUAAAUCCUAAUUUCCUUUGCUACGACUAUAUGAAUUAAACUUUGAUUCACUAUCACUAAUAACAUGUACAACACUCGAGCCAGUCAACACUUCAAGUCUCCAAAUCUCCAACAGAGUCACUCAACUCAAGUCGUCCAAGAUUCCAAGUGCUCAACAAACUCUCAACACCGUCACUUCAGGCAUCAACAUACAACAAAUUGAACAAAGGGUCGGCAAAUUGCAGUUGCACCAGCACAAUUGCACAAAUCAACAAAUAAAAUACGUCAAGUCGUCAAUACAACAACACUCAAUUUCUCAACAGUGAGCAGUCAACACACAAUAAAAACAGUCAACAGAGACAGAGUUGAGACAAUUAGAAUUCAGACAACCAAAACAAUUCAAUUAACCAAAUAUUCAACUCUUUAACUUUAAUUAUUAAACUUAAUAAACUUUAACUCAUCAAUCACCAAUGAUGCAGCCUAUAAUGCACAUUGCUGGCUGCUCGUGCUCGACCUCACCACUCACCUCGAACUUCAGUCCACGGAGUCUGUCCCUGGUCUGGUCGGAGAAGAUGGAGAUUCGCCCCUAACUCUAAGACUUCGUACAUAGCACAUUGGUGGCACACGCACGUUCACCGGUUCACCGCCUCCAUCUGGUACUACUGUUUCGAAUUGAAAUUGAGGGUAAGUGGGUAACUAGUUUCUAUAUAAGGGAAAGGACCAAGGUUUUGCAAUUUUGGGGCUGAUUUUAGGUUUGGGAGUUGGGAGAAAUAUCAAUUAAAACCAAUAUAUCCAAUUAAUAAAUAUGCACCGUCCAUUUGAAUGGAUCCAAUUUCCGUAUUUGGGCCAAUUUUUAUUUUUUUUUAAAUAGGCCCAAUUUCAGUUAGAUUAGCCCAAAGAAAAAGUGAAAAAAGCGGUCGUCUUCUCCUCUUUUAGUUACAGCUGAAACUGAGUUCCUUCGUCUACAAUUGCUGGGCGUCUGCUACCAACACGAUGGUCACUAAACUGACUAAAGACUCCGGUGGAGCCAGCAUGAGCGAUCACGCCCGGUGCUGGCUCCGCCCCUGCCCCAAAGUCAUUGUAUUAUAUUGUUGCUAAUCAGAUGUAAAUUUCUCAUCAUGUCAACUUCAUCAAGUUUGCAUUCCCAUUUGAUUCGUGAACAACCACUAGUAUUAUUGUUUUCGUUGCUGACUCAUCUCAUAUUUCCCAUCCCAUGCCCAUCCCAAUUUAUAUCCCUACCCAUUCAGCGUACCAUAUUUUGUUAAGCUCUCAGCUUUUUCCACAAGUAAGCUCUUUUAGAGUUCACGUAUGACUGAAGUUCUAUUGAGAAUUCUAUUGGGAGUUGGUAGUAUACCUUGAAAAAUUCUUGAAGAAGUCAAAGAGGUAUAAGGAGAAUAAUCACGUGAAGACUGUUCGCCAACCUCAUAGAUGUCGUUCAAGCAAAAAUUGCAAUAACUCCAUCGCUUGCUAACUAUGCCAGGUGCUCGAGCGGUGGCCGGUGGAUGCACAGCUUGCUAGUUGCGAGACCACCGCUCGAGUGAUGGUGUUAUCCGGUGCAAAUCCUAGUCAUUAUUUUGGUAGUUUUUAUAUUCAUAUUCUACCUCAAAUACUCCAUUAUUUGUUAGGCCUAUUAUAUUAGGACCCUACCAUAUGUUAUGCUCUUCGUUAUGCUAUAUAUAGGAUUAAUUUCAUCUCUUGAAAUCAUCCAACUUUUGCAGCCAUUUGAUAUAGUGAAUUUUCUCCUCUUCUACUCGUGUUUUUUCCCGUAGUAGGUUUUCAUGUAAAUUUUGUAUUCUUGUUCAUAUAUUUUUAUAUUUUCAUUUUUCAUUUUUCAUAAAAAAUAGGCAUUAGAAUAAUGUUUGAUUUUCAGUUAUGGCAACCAUGAAAUUCGAUAUUUCGCUUUUGGAUCACAACACUAGGUUUUCGUUACAGCAAGUAAAGAUGAGGGUUGUCCUUGCACAAGUAGACUUGGAUGAUGCCCUGUUAGAUUUGAUAAGAUGCCCUCAAUUUGGAUGCAGGAGGAAAACAAUGUAGGGAUCGAAAUGCCCUAUCUCAAAUUCAUCUUCAUCUAUCAAAUCAAAUUCUUUAAGACACUCUAAAUGAGGAAACUUCCACUAUGUUAUGGUUACAAUUGGAGUAAUUAUACAUAUGGAAAUUGUAACUAGUAAAUUGCAUUUGAAGUAAUGAUUGUAUUCUUAUCACAUGACAGAAGAUGCGUCUAUAGAAGAUCACCUAAAUUUUCUUUAUGAAAAUUUUUACUAAUCUGGAGACCCUAGAGGUCAAGUAUACUGAAGAAAAUUUAGGGUUAAUCGUCUUGUGUUCGCCGCCGUCUUCAUAUAUGCCUUUUAGUGAAACUAUUUUUUACAAUUAUAACACUCUGACCAUAGAUGAAGUAUAUGAUACUUUGUUUUCAAAUGAGAAGAUGAAGCAGCUUAUGAUUGGAUCUGAAGCUCAAGCAAAGGGUCUUGUUGUUCAUGGUGGUUACGUGAGGGCAUAUUGAAGUCUAAUUACAAUGAUAAAAUUUGUAAUUAUUGUAGAAAAGGGGGCACAUCAAUUUUGAUUACUAUAAGUUGCAGGAUAAGGAUAAAAUAGCUACUAUAAAUUAGAAAGGAAAAUAACUAGAAAAUCUAGGUAAAGCCAGUGUUGCAAAAGAUUGCUAUAGUAAUGGAGAACUUCUAGUUAUUUCUAAUAGUGACUCCAAACCUUACGAGGAUUAGUUUCUUAAUACAUCUUACACGUUUCAUAUGUGCUCUAAUCAAAUUGGUUUUCAAAGGUGCUAAGAUAAUGAGAAAUAAUGCUCCUUGUAAGAUAGCUGGUAUUGGAACGAUAAGAAUUAAAAUAUUUGAUGAUAUGAGACAUGUUUCAGAUUUGAAGAGAAAUUAUAUAUAUUUGUGUAUUCGUUAUUCAGAAGGGCACAAGUACACUAUUGAAAGUAGGGUCUUGAAGGUUAGCAAAUGCGCUCGUAUUAUGAUGAAAGGGUACAGAAGAUCUACCUAGUUAUAUGUGUUACAGGGUUUUACAAGAUUAUUGAUACAAAUUAAUAGAGAUCAGACACAUAGGUCGAGUUUGAUUUUGGGUCAAUAACUAGACCAGACUUUAUAUUUUAGCUUUGUUCAGAAGUUAAGGGUAGUGCCACUUUGCUACCACCAUGUAGUUAUGGCAAAAAACCUAUCGCCGCCUCGCCCCGAAAAAUUGGUGGGGCGAGGUGCGUAAAGAGCAAAAAAUAAUAAUAAAAUAAUUUUAUUUAUAGACAAUUUACUAGUUAAAAAUUCAUUUUUGAAUUUGUUUUUUAAUUCUCUAAUAAUAGCAUAACUCGAAAUACUGAAAAUGUAGAAAAAAAAUUAAAUGGGGCAAAAAAUUGGGCAAAAAAUUGCCUUGCCCCUGUCCGGUCUGAGGUAGGGUAGGAGGGCGCCGAACCUAUCUCGUUGCCAUCCCUACCACCACCAGUGAUACCACAUUAUUCUAUUGUUAAAUAUAUCCAAAAGAAAUAUUAGACCUCUACAUAAGUGCGGUUACACUGAUUUGGUUGCUUAUGCUUUGAGUGUUGCCAAAGGUAUUGAUUCCAUUGAAAAACCUUCUAAGAGGAAGUUAGGUGUGUUGAUUCGAUUUUGUUGAAAAUCUUGAAAAGAGAAGAUCUCUUACAGGGUACAAUUUUACUAUUGGUGAUUGUGUUUUCAAUUGGAAAGCUAUUACGUGGUAUAAGAGGUUUGGCUCAUUUUUAGUCACUCAUGGCUUUAAGAAAACAAUUUAUGAUAGCUCUAUUUAUUUUAAGAAGUGUGGUGAUGGGUCGUUUGUGUAUCUAACCUUUUAUGUUGAUAGUAACCAAGGAUAAGGGAGAAAUAAGAAAAGUGAAAGCCUAGCUCAGUGAAGAAUUUGAUAUUAUUGUGAGCAAAGUUGGUACCUAAAAUAAUACUAUUGAUAUGAUGACCAAGUUACUUACUAUAGUCAAGUACGAGCAUUAGUUGAACUUGGUUAGUAUUUGUUCAUUGAGUUUACCCUUAAGCUUUUGUAGAAAGGUGAAGUUUUAUUAUUUCCAUUGGAAUUCGUGUCAAGGUGAAAAUUUGUUAGAGUUUGAGUGUAACUAGAACUCUAUUGAGAACUAUUGUGAGUUUUGUAGUAUGCCUUGAAAAAGUCAAAGAUGGAUAAUGAGAAGAAAUCGCGUAAAGCCCGAUUGCCAAUUGUACAUGUAGUGCUCGAAUGGAAAUCGCAAUAACUCCACCGAUCGCUAAUGUCGCACUAGUACUCAUGUGGUAGAUACAUCUCUUGUUAACAAGAAUAUCACCGCUCGAGCAGUGGUGUUAUCCGAUGCAAGUCUUAGAUACAAUUUUUACAUUUAUGAAUUAUCUCAAAUAUUCCAUUAUUUGUUAGACUUGUUAUAUUAAGAGCCCACCAUAUGUUAGGCUCUUUUUUGUAUUAAAUAUUAGAGUAAUUACAUCUCUUAAAAUCAUCCAAUGUUUGCAAUUUUCUUUAACAUAGUGAAUUUUCUCCUACUCUGUUAAUGAUUUUUCUCGUCUGGGAUUUUCACGUUAAACUUGUGUUAUUGUUCUUAUAUUUUCAUGUUGUCAAUUCUCAUUUUUUGUAAUAAGCACCAUAUCUCAACAAUCAUAAAUUGAUGAAACUGCAGCUAACCUGUACUAUUAGCUUCCAUUCCUCAUUUGCCACGCCCUAGUUCCAAUUUCCCCUACAAUUAACCUAAUGCCCGCUUACACAUUUAAGCAAGCUUCACCCUCUGUCUACAAUUAUUGUGCAUCAGAUCCUUUUUUUUUUUUUUUUUGUUUCUUAGAACAUUAGAAGCCCUUCUCUCUAAGCUUAUAAAUGUUCAUCCGUGGACUUCCCUAACAAAGUCAUGAACCUAUUAAAAAAGGAACCUUUAUACGUACCUUACCACAACUGAGAACAUCGAAGCCACAUUUCCAUCAUAAGAUCUUAAGCAUCCUCAUUGGCAUACUAUCAUAUUCGAUGAAAUGUAUUACUUUGAAAUGGUAACUUGAUUCUUGUCCUUCCUCAUUUGCUCCAAAAGUUGAUUGGUUAUAAGUCAAUUUAUCGAAGUAAGAGUAAGGAUGAUGGCUCGCUUGAUCAAUAUAAAGCUCGAUUAGUUCCUAAAGGGUUCCAUCAACAUCCUAUUAUUGACUUGACAAGACAUUUUGUCUUUUGUUAUACUAAAAGCUAUUUACCUCAUUUUUAGUUUUGCCUUGACCUCUAAUUGGUAUCUCCUUCAGCUAGAUGUCAACAAUGUCUUUCCUGAUGGCAUGUUGAUCUAGUACAUGGCUCAACAUUCUAAGUUUAUAAUGUUGGGCCUUUUAUUGAUACCCAAAGAAUCUUAGGACAAUGUUUAACGGUUAGUUUCAUAGAUUUCACCUAAGGAUUGAAUUAACACCACAAGUUGGGACCAAAACCAGCAGCUUGAUCCAAAACUUAAUGAAGCCAUUCGAAGCAUUUUUAUGUUGCUCAUGGCCCAUUUCAUAGUCAUGGCUGAUUUGUGUGGUUGACUUAACUAAUUGGCUACCUAUUAUCUUCCAUUUCUUUGUGAAUUGUUUUAAGAGUAGCUAUAGAGAUUAAAAACAACAUGAGUUGUUUCUUUCUUCUUUAUGAGUAUUUUGAGGCAACUUUGUGUUCAUUUUCUCCUCUUUUUGUGAGUGCCAUAUUCACAUUUUCUCUAUCCCACAUAUCCUUUGUAUAUUUUUGGGCAACCUUAGUGGCUUUUUGGGUUGUUCUUUAUGGUGUUAGAUUAAUCUUAUGGUGGUUUAAACUGAACCAUAAUCAUCAACUUAUUAGUUUUGUACAUAGAAGCUUCAUUUAUGGUGUAAUUUUAUUCAAAAAAUAGUAUCAGAGCCACAAAUUUAGUUAUAUUGAUGUGAAAAAUAUUAUAAGAAAAAGCAAGACAUGAACAUGCAAAAAAAAGGCCAAAAAUUUGUUGAAAAUCUUCAAACUUGGAUAUGCAAUUCCAUUUUCAUGCCAAGCCAAGCAUCAAAAGGACACCAUAUUCUAACUCCAGACGAUGAGGUUGAGAUACAUCGCCAAUGUGUGUGAUCCAUAGGGCAGUAGAGGCAGCAGCACGUGAGACCCAUGUGCAAGGCGGUGACGAUGCAUAGCAAUGUGUGUGGUGGUUUUCAAUGACAAUCCCUGAAGACAAUGUUCUCGUGUUUGCUCUAUGGACCUACAAUGGUGUUAGUUUUCUAUUUCAAGCAAUAUAUUGAUUCUGGAUAGUUUUGCUCUUAGUCAUUCGGUUGUCAAUUCUUGUUGCUAUCUUGUCAUAGUCAUUGAAAACUUUAGGGCAGCUAGUUUAGUUUUGAUUUGAGUAAGCUCAUAAUAGGGAAUACCCUAAGCCUGGGAACCAAGGCCUAGCCAUCAUUUGUUUGCGGUCGCAUUCCAACUUUGUCCGCCGACAGCUGAAUGUUUCGAUCUGGUUCGAUUCAUGAUCGCAUCUACAAACCUUAUCCUGUAGGACUUUGUUAAUUGAAUCUUGAGCAAGUAAUAUAAUGGUAAAUUAAGUGUCAAGCGUACAAGGAUUAUGUGUUUGAUCUUAUUAAAGUAUAACCUUAAUCGAAUAGAAGAUAGAAUUAUAACGAAUGAAUGUCUAAUUUAUCACACUUGAAAGCAAAGUAAAAACUUUCAAAUUCGUGAGAUGUAUUGUUAAGAUGUAGAAUCUCCAUUGUUAAUCCAUUUUAGUUCAACAAUUUAAAUUGACAUUUCGAAAUCAUGCUCGGUGGUGACGUUCCUAUUUUAAUUAAUAGCUUUUCUCGAUAGCAAUUAAAUCUAAUCCUACACGGGAAUUUCCUAUAUUUCUAUGAAAGAUAUGAAUGAGGAAUAAAGCAUUAAACGAGCUAGAACACCUAUAAAAAUCAUGUGAAACAUAAAGGUAUAACUCUAUCAUUUACGAACCUCACAAAGUGCAUUAUUAAGUGCUAAAUGAACCCACUAUCUCUCUCGAUGAUAGUAAAACCCACAAACAAUUCAGCUAAUGGCCAAUUAAUUGAAAAGCAAACUAAACCUUGAUAAAUACCCAACCAUUCAAAUAAAUUAAUAUCAAUCAAAUCAUUUAAGCAAAAACUUUAUAAUAAGGGUUCAUCUCAUCCUGGUAAUGAAAAGAGUCUAGCCAAGCAUAAUUAAAAUUACAAGAACACAUUUUAAGGUUAAUCAACAACACUUGAAAAUUAAAUAAUUGACAAGAAAUCCUGAAUUCUUGAAUGUCUUCGAUGAAUUCUUGAUAUAUCUUGUUGUUUCCUUCCAAUCCUUGUACAAGUUUCAUAGUAUAAAAUGUGCUUAAUAGUUUUCUUGCAAUUCUUUGGUUGAAAUAUCUCACAAGUAUGAAUAUGUCCUCUUCUUUAAUAUAAUUAUUCCAAGUUUUUGAGUUGUCUAUUGCAUAUAAUAGGCCCUCCCAUGUGAAUUACAAGAACAUAUUUUAAGGUUAAUCAACAACACUUGAAAAUUAAAUAAUUGACGAGAAAUCCUGAAUUCUUGAUAUAUCUUGUUGUUUCCUUCCAAUCCUUGUACAAGUUUCAUAGUAUAAAAUGUGCUUAAUAGUUUUCUUGCAAUUCUUUGGUUGAAAUAUCUCACAAGUAUGAAUAUGUCCUCUUCUUUAAUAUAAUUAUUCCAAGUUUUUGAGUUGUCUAUUGCAUAUAAUAGGCCCUUCCAUGUGUAUGGAACGUUCUGGUAUUUAUAUAACUCGAAUCUAGGUCAAAGAUAUCGUCCAAAUUAUUGCCAAGUUGAGUUUUAAUCGUAUAAGGAAACCUGAGAUUCAUCUAAAAUCUUGUACUAAGCGGUAGCAUUGUACAUUGGGAUGCGACUGCAUAGUUCACUUGUUGAACUCCAAAUUCCUCCCCACAUGUGUGGAUGGGAUUGUAUGGAUUUUUGAACUAUGCAAGCGCAUAGUUAUAGGGCUUUUUUUUUCCUAACGACUUUCAGUAUUUCGGUCAUGUCUUCCUCUUUCGAUAUUCGAUUGAGAUGAUUUAAACUGCAUUGGAAGGAUAACUCAAAUGUAUACAAUUCUUUCAAAGAUAUAAUUUUUCCAAUUCGAACAUUUGCGAUGCCAAAAUUGGGUUCAUAUAGAGAUUGAAAAUCUAAAGCAUAACUUUUUCGCCUAAAAGUUGAUACGUGAUAAUAUUUUGACUAUGUUUCAUCCCUUUGACUUUUCCUCAUUCUAUAGAUCCAUAACACUCUUGAAUCUUCUUUGUAAGGUUCAACAUAACUUUUCAAUAGUUGCACUUUAGUCCUCAAACUUUGAUUUUGCUUCUUUUCAGCCCUUUUCUUUUGUAAUCUUGUUCUUUUAUCUUUCCAUUGUAUCCAAUUAAAGUCAUGGCAUCUUCGAUCUUCAUUUCAUUGCCUAUCUCAUCUAUGGGUUAUUUGAAAUUUGGUCCUUGUCUUUGGGAUUACACUUGUUUUAAAAAAAAUAUUACUAUUUAAGCCCUUAAUAUGUGUAUAAAAUACACUUAUCACAUCACAUGUGUAUAACUAUGUGUUAUUUGCUCUUGAUUGAUCUCUAUGUAAAUUUGAUUGUACCGAGUAUGACCUUAUCUCUUGGUGAGUACAUGGAGUAAGUACGGUAUGUGUUUUGGGGUUAAGAUACUAGUAAGGUCUGUGCUUCCAAUUUAUUUUGGAUAGCUUGAUUAGGCAAGUAUUAUAUGAACUUGGUUUUUUUGGCUUGCAAGUUUGUUAAGUAUUAAUGUGGAUUUUGUUAAUUUUUUGGUACCCAAUAAAUAUCGGGAUGAUGAUGUUUGAUAGUUUAACAUUUCAUUUAAUUGGGUUCGGUCAAGGAUUGAAUUAAUGCCAUAAGUUGGAACCUAAACCAAAGGCUCAAUUCACAACUUAAUCGGGCAAACCAAAGCAAUUUUUCAGUUACACGUUGCCCUAGUUUUUAACUUAUCAUUUCAAAAAAAAAAAAAUCAGAUUUUAACUUUAUUCUUUCAAAAAUCAGGUAUACCCUAUCAAACCUGCCCUACCCUUUAACUUUAAUUCAUUUUCUAUCCAAACAAAAGGUCAUAGAACUUCUCCACCAGCUUCUAAUUCUUCACUAUCAAUUAUUUCUUCGACGAUAAGCACAGUGGCAGUAGAGCGGCGCUCAUCAUUGCUAUAUGCGAAGUAGUGUCAUGCGCAAUGGAGAUUGCAUGGUUUUUGUUGUAUCAUUUACCAUGUACCAUUUACUCUUAGUAAUCAUCGCUAUUUGCCAGAGUUUUGAGGUGAUUUUUGUUAGUGGUUGUUGGUGGUUUGUAAAUGGUGGUGGUUGUUUACAAUUUGCAAAUGGUCGUUAUUUGUGGUGGUUGUAAUUGUGCACAACGUUAGGUUGAUGUUGGUGUAGUGGAGUGGGGUGAGUGGGAUGAAGAGUGUUUGUGACCAAUUAUUUUAGUGAUUGUCCCCAAUAAAAUGGUUAAUUUGUGACCAAUAAAACCUAUAAAUUAGGUAAUUUGUGAUCAAUAAAAUAAUAUGUUACCUAAAAGAUGUGUGAUUACGACUAAGACUCACAAUUUGUGUCUUUUUUUAUUGUGACCAUAUGUGAUUUGUGAAUGUGAUCAUAAUUGUGUGUUAUUGUGACCUUCAACCAGUUAUUAUGACCUUGACAUGUUAUCAAGUGGUCACUUGAUUUUUGAAAUUUCUUUACAAGUUUCUUAUUUCUGAAAAUGUAUCUUUAAAUCUUUGUAGUAAUGUAUUUUUCCUUUUUUUAGUUAAUGCUGCUCAUGGUCCAUUUGAUAGUUUUAGCACAUUGGUGUGGUUGACUGAACUAAUUGGAUACCUAUAUAUAUCUCCUUUCUUUGUGAAUUAUUUUAAGAAUGGCAGUUGAGAUUAAAAACAACAGCAGUGUGUCCUUCCACUUUGUGAGCAUUUUGUUGUGGCCGUGUGCUCCUUUUCUCUUUCCUUUGUGAGCGCCACCUGCACCUUACCUUUGUGGGACAAAUCCUUAGUGGAUUCCUCGACAACUCAGUGGCGUUUUUGGAUUGUGGUUUCUUGUGGUGGAUUAAACUAAGCCGUAAUAAUCAAGAUAUCAGUUUUGCACGUUGAAGCUUCAUUGGUUGUGUAAUUAUAUUCGACACACGAUUAUCUACUCAAUAUUGAUUCAUUGCCAACACAGCAAGCGAAAUUCUUUGACUUAAAUCAUUGCUUCAUGAACUCGACAUUCAAACUACUUAACACUAUUUAUUUAAUGUAGCAAUGUUGUGACCGUUUAUGUAUGCGCCAAUUCCGUAUUCUGCUCAAAAGCGAAGCACAUAAAAUUGAUAUACAAUUUAUUUAUUUAUUUAUUUAUUUUUAUUUGUUUUGUUUAUGUUCAAAUGAUGCACUCACAAAACCAUUUUCUUUAGCUCACUUUCAUUAUCUUCAUUCCAAGAUUGAAGUCUCUGAUGGGUCCAAUCCAUCAUCUUGUACGAAUAUACUAGAGAUAAUAUCUAUGAUAAAUAUUCCAUGAAAAUAUUUAUCUUUAUUUUAUACACGGAUAUCCGUGGCCCAUUAUCUACCCCUUGUAUGAAUGGUCAUGGAGACUUUAUUUUUUAUUGAUUACUACUCAAGAUAGAUGUAUCUCUAUCUUCUGUUCGAUAAGGAAGAAGCGUUUGAUGCUUGUAAGGUUUUCAAAAACAGGGGCGGGGAGGGAAUGGUAACGUCAUAUAUGGGUGGGUACUCUUAUGGAAAGUACAUAGAGGAGUAAUAAGUGACAGGAACAUAUCAUUCUUUUGCUCAUUCGUAGUAAAUGUUACUUAGUCAUUUACCAUAGUAGUUAGCCAAUACUCUAGUUAUCCUUAUACAAAAGUGUAGUUCCCCUUAUUUGUAGUUCACUUUGUAUAGAAUAUAGAUAGAACAAAUGAUCAAUAGAAGAGUGGCUAAUUCUCUUCUAAAUAUUGUCUUUAUUUUAUAUUCUACAUUUGUUGCAUUCCAUUCAUUUGGAGCUAAAAUCACUCAGUUAGAAACAUAUAAUUGCAAGGAAAGUUUUUUCUGCAAGAGUCUUCGGUGGUUUCUACUUUCUUCCGCAUACUAGAAUUCACCAUCUUAACAAAAUUUUAAAACGUGAAAUCUAAUGUUUAAGAAUAUCCACUAAUUUUCCAAGUCAUUCGAAAUUUAUCUUUCGAAACUAAAUAAAAAGAAAGGUUAAAAGAAUGCAAAACAAGGUAUGAAUUAGUAGGAAAAACGUUUUUAUAAACUUAUAAAACUGUCCUAAACACAAGCAGAAUGAUGACUAUUGAAACUAAAAUGAAUAGAAAUGUCAAAAGGAAGUAAAAUAAAAAGUUUUGAAUUAGUAAUUUUUAAAAAAAAAAAAAAAAAACUUAAGACAGUCCUAAAAGCAAGUAGGAUGAUUGAUGUUGGAAUUUAAAGUUUAAGUAUUAUAUUACAGAAUCAAAAGACUAUUAUUGUAGUACAACAGAUAUAAAAGAGAUAUAAAAGUUAAAGACUGCUUCUUCCGAAAUCCUUAGUUUCAAGUUUAUAAAAAUAUCACUUACAUAUCUUACAAAGUAAAACUUAGUUUAAAGUUUUAAGAUUCUUGACUUAAAUAAACAAAGAAUUAAAGUGAAUAUGUAUCGAUAUAAUCAUGCAGGGACGGAGUAGGGAUGGCAAUAAAACCCACCCCGCCUCAAAUGGGGCAAAAAAAUCCAUCCCGAAUGGGUGGGGUGGGGUGGGGUGGGGUGAGGCGGGGCGAGGAUGCCCGGCCUUGAACCCGCCUUGUGAAGGAAAAAAAUAAAAAAUAAUUUUAUUUCUAGACAAUUCACCUUUUAAAAAUUCAUUUUAAAUUUGUAUUUUAUUCUCUAAUAAUAACAUAACUUGAAACUUUGAAAAUGUAAAAAAAAUAAAAUAAUAAUAAACGAGGCAAAAAGUUGUCCCGUCCCUGCUCCCUCGGGGCAAGGUUUUGGGGAACGGAGCGGGGCAGGGUGGGGCACUACACCCUGAACCCGCCCCGUUGCCAUCACUAGGACGAAGUGGACUACUGAAAACAAUCACUGGGGUUAACAUAUACUGAUUCAAAUAUUAUGUCUCGAACGGCACAAUUCAAUGAAAAUACAUUUCCUUUCACUGAAAUAUAAUGUCCAAAGGAUAUGUAUUUACAAUAAAAAGAUUUUGAAAAGAUUCUAUUCAUUGUCGUGUAGGGUUACAAUAAAAAGAUAUACGAGUUUUCAGCCAAAUAUGCUCUAGAAAAAUUCCAUAAUAUUCUAAUGUUUUCCAAAAGUUUCUAUGUAUUUGAGCAACUUAAAUUUGGCAUUAAUUUUUUAUGCACUCGAAAUUAAUUUCAAGCAACUAAAUUAACUUUGAAAAUCUACUCACGGUGUAGAACUAGUUCGACAUUCAAAUAUCUAGUACCGACCAACGGCUUCAACUUAAAUAAUUAGUCAAAAAUCUGUUCAAACCAAUUUUCCAAACUAAUUUUCAACAAUUUCCCACAUGAACAAAAAUUAAUGAAAAUGACUCUACAUACACUAAGAUUACAUUGUGCCAGGUACAUUGUGGGUUGAACAUUCUGAUGUCCAGUCACUGCCAAAAAGAAGAUUACAAGGGACCACAAAAAUUGGUCGCUGAAUGAUAUUUUCUGGUAUUUGAAAUGUUUCACCGACCAUUAUAUCCUAGUCACUGGUUAGUUGCAAAUUCAUUGUCAGUGAACGAAAUUGGCAACCAAAUAAGUGUAGUCGCUAUAAACAUAAAUCUUUAUCAACCGAAUAACUGUGGUCGCUAAUCAUGUAUUCUGGUCACUAUAUACAACAUUAUGAUAUGAUUUAGGUUGGUAAAAAUUCAUCUCCAGCACAUUUCUUAUCAUAAAAUGGAUAUGAGUCAUAUUUCAAGCGCUCAUUGAUUUUUUAUAACUUGGUUAUCCCAUUGAACUAACAUCUUGGGAUUUUCAAUCAACAAUGCUGGGUCAUUAUUAUUAAAAUUCUUACAUAGUAGGCUUUAAAAUAAUUAUCCUCGAUCUGCUGUAUACUUGAUCUCUUGGUAAACUUUUAAAAGUGGAUCCACGUUAUUACACCAUAUAAGAUCAAUUAUUUUAUUAUACUAUGUCUUUGAUAUAUUUGUCGAUGCUGACACAAUACAAUAAAUUUAUAUCUUAAUAAAAGUAGCCAGCUAUCACAAUUAAUUUUUGGAUAAUAGACAUAAGUCGCCAAUUAAGAAUUCCGACCCCAAUUUUCGAAAUAACGUGCUUAUUUCUAGCUUUAUUUAAAGCUCUAACUCGACCUACAAAUACACAACAUAUUUGGAGAAUUUCUAAUGCACGAAAUCAUUGUGAAACAUUUUUUUUUUUGAAUCCUUGGUACUAGAUAUUCAAUAACCAUUGAAUCCAUUAUGAUGCAUUUCAUCGCUUGAAUACUCUUCAUACAUUUCAAUACUAUUUUUUCAUAUCCAAUAUAAAUAUAAUAAUUGAUUUUCAUUCUCAUUUUAAGCACUUUUGAAUUAGGGAACGCCAUCUUUGUGAAUCCUCCUCAUACUUUUAAAAUUAAUAAAGGAUUUUCUACUUUUCCAUUUUCAUAGAAUUUUUCUCAUGACUUAUUAAAAAUGUAACUUAUAAACAAUGAUAUCCCGUAACUCCUUAGAUGUGAAUUUAAUUUUCUAGUAAUGCUAUUCUCUUUUCAACCGUUUCACUAUAAUUUUGUUGAAUGAAUUCCUAACUCAUGCUUACAUUGCUUUUAACUGGGCCAAUAAUUGAACCCAAACGUUCACGUUGAUUUAUUUAGUUGUUCGUGCCCAUAUCUUUGUAUCAUCAAAUAAGAAAUUUUACUCUCAUUCUUCCUUGCUUUCCUUCUCACUAAUGGAUAAUUCAUUAUUAACAUGGGAAAAAUUCUUAUAUCAAGCCUUAAGCACCCCCAUUUAAUUCAUAGUAAAGGGCAUGAUGAGUAACAUAAAGAAGGUAAUUUUAUUACAAAUAAACCUUUUCAAUUUCCAAUGAAUGAACCAUACGGAAUUUAUCAUGCGGGAUGUGUAAAGAUUUUGAGAAGAUUCUACUCAUUGUCAUGUAGGAUUACAAUCAAAAAGAUAUACGAGUUUUCAGCCAAAUAUGCUCUAGAAAAAUUCCAUAAUAUUCUAAUGUUUUCCCUAAGUUUCCAUGUAUUUAAGCGACUUAAAUUUGGCAUUAAUUUUUUAUGCACUCGAAAUUAAUUUCAAGCAACUAAAUUAGCUUUGGCAAUCUACUCACGGAGUAGAAUAAGUUCGACAUUCAAAUAUCUAGCACCAACUAACGGCUUCAACUUAAAUGAUUAGUCAAAAAUCUGUCCAAACCAAUUUUCAACGAUUUCCCAAAUGAACAAAAAUUAAUGAAAAUGACUAUACAUACACUAAGAUUACAUUGUGCUAGGUACGUUGUGGGUUGAACAUUCUGAAGUCCAGUCACUACCAAAAAGAAGAUUACCAGGGACCACAAAAAUUGGUCACUGAAUGAUAUUUUCUGGUCGUUGAAAUGUUUUACCGACCAUUAUAUCCUAGUCACUGGUUAGUCGCUAAUUCACUGUCGGUGAAGGAAAUCAGCAACCAAAUAAAUGUAGUCGCUAUAAACACAAACCUUUAUCGACUAAAUAACUGUGGUCGCUAAUGACUUAUUCUGGUCGCUAUAUACAAUAUUAUGAUAUGAUUUAGGUUGAUAAAAAUUCAUCUCCAGCGACAAAAAAAAAAAAUUAUAUUUUGAGCAACCAGGUAUAUUAGCGGCUAUUUCCCAUCCUUUAGAGACCAAUAUUGGUCGAUAGUGGUGUACCAAUCGAGAUAAAAUUUUGGAUUUUGAAUGAUAAAUAUACCUACCAAAUUGUGGUGGGAGAAGUUUACUGACAACGACCAAUUCGUGGUUGCUGAAUCUAUCCCUUUAUCAGCAACUAUUAAUUGGUUGGUGGAUGUCAAUUUUUUUUCCCUUUUUUGAAAUCGUUUAACAACCAAAUCUAGUAGUAAAUGUUAAAUUAAUAGAUUAAGAAAGCAACAUUUUUUUUUUUUGUUCCCUCUGAUAUUUUGUCAAAUCCUUCAAUUCGACUUUCAACAACCACAAAGUUCAUACUAAAAAGGCCACAGUAAGAACAACAAUGAAAUUAACUAAAAGUAUACAAUAAUAACUACAAAGGAUAAUUGUUAUAGCUUAUGUAACAAGUGUUAAUAAUCUCUACAUAAUUCUAAAUGUCCUACACUUAACCUAAAAAAUAUAACUUCUGAAAUUUUCCUUGUGACUUCAACAAUAUAAUCACAAUACUAUGGCACUAACUGAUGAAGGUGGUGGAGGCGGAUCAUUAUUCGGUCUUGGAGGAUGCUGACUCAUAUCUAUUCGUGCAACAAGACUCUGAAUAAGUAAAGCAUGUUGUUCAAGACGUUGUGUAAGCUCUCUAAAAGUAUCAUCUUUCUCCUUAUCUCGUUGAGCAAGAAUUUCCAACUUUUCCAUUAACCCAGGAGUUGUGCAUGUGUUGAUAUAUGACUUGCGUGGAGCAGGUCCAAUCCCAGAAAUAGUUCCAGCACUCUUAUCAAAAAAAUGAACACAUAUUGCUAUUUCAUCCAUAAUGGAUGUAUCAUUCCCUAAAUGUGCUUGUUGCAACUCCACCGUCUCUUAUUGUUGUAUAAUAUCAAAAGAUUGUUAAAAUAAUUAACAUUUAUUAAAAUAAUAUAUUGGCAUUAUAAGUAAUAUAUCUUACAUAUCGCGACUCGGCUAGUUAGUCAUCGCAUCAUAUGAGAAAAAAUACAUCCAAUAUUUAAUGAACACUAAAAAAUGAAAUAACACCAUAGGACAAUGAAAAAGCUUUUGCUUUAGCUUCAGGGUAACAUUUAAAAGACAUAUUUUAAGAGACAUUAAUUUUUCCAGAUGUGCCGGUUUCCAGUAAUGAUAAACAGCAAAAAUCAGUUUAUAUAGAAGUACCAACAUUCUUGUAAAAUAUUCGGAAUGUAGGCAAAAAGGUGAUUGAUGUUUCACCCGAACAAUAUAAAUUCUUACAAUUUCUAAUGGAAGAUGAUAAUGACAUCAUUUCUACUCCUCAUCAUCAUCAUCUUUAAUACUUGCAAAUGUAACUCCAUUAAUCAUUCCUAGAUAUCCUAAGUGCUUCAGAGAAUUCAUGCACCGAACAUUCUUAUGAAAGCAAUCCCAAUUGACAAUUACAUAAGUGAUCUCCUAUUAAGAGUAUCAUUACACCACACUUAGUUUGUUUAUGUAAGCUAUAUAGAUAAUUAAAACUUUAACUAAUCAUAAACAAUUGUUAGAUAGCACAUUUCUUAUCAUAAAAUGGAUAUGAGCUAUAUUUCAAGCGCUCAUUGAUUUUUUAUAAGUUGGUUAUCCCAUUGAAUUAACAUCUUGGGAUUUUCAAUCAACAAUGUUGGGUUAUCAUUAUUGAAAUUCUUACAUAGUCGGCUUUAAAAUAAUUCUCCUCAAUAUACAGUAUACUUAAUCUCUUGGUAAACUUUUAAAAGUGGAUCCACAUUAUUACACCAUGUGAGAUCAAUUAUUUUAUUAUAGUAUGUCUUUGAUAUAUUUGUUGAUACUAACAUAAUACAAUAAAUUUAUAUCUUAGUAAAAGCAGCUAGCUAUCACAAUGAAUUUAUGGAUAAUAGACAUAAGUUGCCGAUUAAGAAUUCCGACCCCAAUUUUUGAAAUAACGUGCUUAUUUCUAGCUUUAUUUAAAGCUCUAACUCGACCUACAAAUACACAACAUAUUUGGAGAAUUUCUAAUACACGAAAUCAUUGUGAAACAUAAUUUUUUUGAAUCCUUGGUCUAGAUAUUCAAUAACCAUUGAAUCCAUUACGAUGCAUUUCAUCCCUUGAAUACUCUUCAUACAUUUCAAUAAUAUUAUUUCCUAUCCAAUAUAAAUAUAAUAAUUGAUUUUAAUUCUCAUUUUAAGCACUUUUGAAUUAGGGAACGUCACCUUUGUGAAUCCUCCUCAUACUUUUAAAAUUAAUAAAGGAUUUUCUACUUUUCCAUUUUCAUAGAAAUUUUCUCAUGAGUUAUUAAAAAUGUAACUUAUAAACAAUGAUAUCCCGUAACUCCUUAGAUGUGAAUUUAAUUUGCUAGUAAUGCUAUUCUCUUUUCAACCGUUUCAUUAUAAUUUUGUUGAGUGAAUUUCUAACUCAUGCUUACAUUGCCUUUAAUUGGGCCAAUAAUUGAACCCAAACGUUCACGUUGAUUUAUUUACUUCUUCGUGCCCAUAUCUUUGUAUUUCGUCAUCAUCAAAUAAGAAAUUUUACUCUCAUUCUUGCUUGCUUUCCUUCUCACUAAUGGAUAUUUUAUUAUUAACAUGGGAAAAAAACAUAUAUCAACCCUUAAGUACCCCCAUUUAAUUCAUAGUAAAGGGCAUGAUGAGUAACGUAAAGGAGGUAAUUAUAUUACAAAUAAACCUUUUCAAUUUCCAAUGAAUGAACCAUACGGAAUUUAUCAUGCGGGAUAUGUAAAGAUUUUUUGGGCACUUCCUGGAAAUGAAAAAUGGAGACUCAUUAACUCAGCGAUGAAAUCUUCAUUAAUUUGAGAAUAAAUUGGCGUGAUAGUGGAGGAAACGGGCACAAAAUGUACUUAAGCGUGAAUCCGCAUUAAAUUCAUCAUGUAACCUGCUUCACCUUUUCCAAUUCCUAAACCUUUAUAACCACAUUUCCACCCCCAUUGCACUGUAUCGAAGAAAAUUUGUUCCAUAGACAUAGAUGAUGAUGUAUUGGGGUCCGGUUUUCGGGGCCGUUGUGCUGUUCGUUCUGUUGUCGCCGGGUCUGCUGAUUCAGAUUCCGGGUGGUAACUGGUACUUUGAGUUUGGAAACUUCAAGACUAGUGUGGUAUCCAUACUGGUUCAUUCUAUUAUAUAUUUUGGUUUCAUUUGCGUUUUCCUGUUGGCUAUUGGUGUUCAUAUGUAGAUGGGCUGAUUUUUAUCAAUUGAAUAAUGUACUCGGAUUUCAAAGGAAUUGAAUUCUAUUUUCGAUUACCAAAUUUUUGUGCUCGAUUUUUCGUUUUAAUUGAAUCGAAUUGCUCGUUGGAGCUUAAUAAACUUUAAUAGCAUAUUAAGACUAGAGUUUCAAGUUAAAAUGUUAAUUUUAUUAAGAGGAUUAAUCGAGACAUUUAAAUUUGUUCUAUACUUUCAUUUCUAUUCGAUGCGAAAUUUUAUCCACACUUUUGUCAAACAGUUUCUGCGAUCUCGUGUAAUUAUUCUAAAAGUGUAUGCUCUAAUGUUAUUAGAAGAUAUGUUGAAAGUGGCAAUUAGAUUUUGAAAGUACUAAGAGUUCAUCAGUCUCGACAAAGUUCUAAUUUUGACACCAUUCUUUAACAAAAUUCACUUUUUUUUUUCUUUUUUUUCUUUUUCUUUUUUUUUAACAUCAGAACAUCCACUUUUGUAAGUCAUUCAUUUUUCCUCUUAUUUUUUUUAAGCUAAAGGGAAUUAAAGGUUAAAAUAGAAAAACCUUUUAUUAAUACUCAAAAAUAAGUCUUAACCGUUAGCACAUGUAGAAAAUAAAUACACCCUCGACCUUUAAAAUCAGUCUUUUCAGUUCUUAACCUUAAAUUUUUAUUUGCAUAGUUCAUAGUUGGUCCAUUUCACAUAAUCCCAUCAAUUUAUUCUUUAUUACUUUGCCCCAUCCCACCAUUAAAGACUGAAAAAAAAUAAUAAAAAUAAAAUUGGAUUAAUGAUGCGAAUGAUAAUUAUCAUAAUUAUUUUAUUAUUUAAUGACAUCAUUUUCAUUAUAUAUAAAAUAAUUUAUUCUUUAUUGUUUUUCCUCCCCCUCCAAACCCAAAAUAAAGGUUGAACUAAAUGAAGUAUUAUUUUAGUUAAUGAUAAUUUCUAUAACUAUUUUAUUGUGUAAUAAAAUGAUUUUCAUUGUAUUUGAGAGGAAGUUGAAGUCGCCGGCUCAAUUAAUGGUUAGCAGUUGAACCUUAGACUCAUUGAGUUGGUGACCCGCCCUUUCCUUUAGGUCACUGCUCAAGUUGAAUAUGAAACUAUGCUUAAAGAUGCUACAUCUUUAAUAUUUAAAUGAGAUUCAAGUUGGGAUACAAUGCAAGUAAAAGAGUCAUUUUCUAUUGCGGCAAUACAAAUUUUUUUACAAGAGGAAUUAUUAUAUAUAAAUUGAUGAAUUCCUCUGACUAGAAAGAAACAUAAUCUUCAGAAAAUCCAGGAUCUAAUUUUGAUAAGACUGUCGAAAAUUAUAAAAUUAAAAUCACAAAAAUAAAAUAAAAUAAAUAAAUAAAAUUGUAAUGUGAUGCAAGUUUAUUUACAAUUAAUGUGGCCCCACGACGGCUGUGGACAUAAGUCUCAACGGCCCCGCCUUCAAAUGUGGGCUAGCCUAUGUCUCAGCCGGUAGUGUACGUGUACAAAGCCGGUAGUGUAGAUAAUCCUAACGCUAGGAAACUUGAUCACAUUCACGUGACUGAUGUCGCAAUUUUGAAAGUGAAAAACUGUGGGAGGUGAGAGAAACCAUUAAAACAAUAAUUGAUUGCUGUAUUUUCAGAUGUGAUAAUAUCCUAAAUUAUUCCAAAAUAUUUCUAAAUUUAAGUCACAAUAUGUUAAAAUUGGGUUGUGACCCGAAUUCUUUUUUGAAGGUACAUUUGGAGUUGAUUGAUUUGCUUUGGAGGAGUAGAAGACUACGAAAAGUCAAACAAUGAUUUGGACUCCUGUUUCAACUCAAAUGCUCCAUUAUUGGUUUUACUUAUUAUAAUAAGGCUUCACCAUAUAUUAGACUUUUCAUUGUUUUAUAUUUCUUAGUUUGUUAGGAUUUAUUUGAUUAUAAAUAUGUGGUGUACAACACAUAUUGAAAUCGAGCAAUUGUCCAACGUAUUAGUUUGGUCCCGAUAGAUCCUUUAUAAUACUCCAUUAUUGAUUAUUAGUGAAUUAUUCAUCUCUGGCCAUGAUUUUUUCGGUCUUGAAUUUUCACAUAAAUCUUGUGUUCAUGUUUGAUAUAAUUUUCAUAUCACAUCUUAUUUCUCGUCUUUAAUUCUUAACAAGUGAUUUCGGAGCGAUAUACAAUUCUUAACAAUUGGCUCAACUUCUUAGUACAAUCUAUUAUAUUAAGGAAAUACAAAUAUGAUUUACCUUCCUGAUUUUUGAAUUUUAUUUUUUUUACAAAUUUGUUAUAAGCUAUGGUUUAGUCUAAUUUUUUAAAGAGAAAACUAUUAAUCCUUACGUUUUAACUUUUCACCAUAUUUUUUUAACAAUCAAGUCUUAAACUUAUAUUUCCAUAAAUCAUGGAUUCAAAAUAACAAACUUAUCCUUUUGUGGUAUAAGGACUUUGACCACAUCUCUUCCAAAUGCCUUAGUCGAGCUUUAAUCAUUGAAGAAUGAAAGAAUGUAAUAGAUUAGCCAUUAGAAAAUGUAGUCUAUAAGCCUAAACUUGAAGCUUCUGAUGAUUAAGAUGACAGUGAGGAACCUCCUUAGGUGGCAUACGAACUCUUCCUAAGAAUCUAGAUACUAUAUCUUUUGUUCUUGACACCUCUCGAUUACGUGUUGUAUGUCGAACCUUACCCCACCCAAAGAGGCUGAUGAUUUCAUUAGUCACUUUUGGAAAACCCACUUUGAUGUAGGACCAAUGGAAAAUUCAGCAGAUAAAUUAUAAGCAACAAAAAAUAAGUAGAGAUGAUGUGAUCCAAGAUGCAGGAGUCACGAAGGCAAGUUCGAAUUAAGACUCAUUGAUUAUCGAAGCAGGCCCGAUGAUGUGAUCGAGAGCGAAAUGAGUUAAACAGGUAAUGGGGAUGCUCGUCAAUGCCACUAUUAUGGCACCAUGUUUGGGACGCAAAAUGGAGCAAGUUUUAUGUUGGGGUCAAAGGCUGAAGAGCUGUGGAUCAACGUGAUAAAGAUGGACCAUAUGGAAAACAAGUAGUGUGGAUUCAAAUGGGCAUAACUUUUAGCUCAAGUGUCGAAUUUUCGCCCAUGAGUACCAUUCGAAAUCGUCACGAAAUUUUGCACAAAGAGUAGGAGGUUUUCAAAAAAUAACUAUGCAACCGCAAAGCUUAAAAGCCAUGUGACCGCAUAGGCUGUUACCGAAACAAAAUUGAGGCUGAUUAUUUGUCCUAUGCGACUGCAUUUAUUUAUACUAUGCGACCGCAUAGUACAAAUUUUCGGAUGCAUUUUCAAUUUUUGGUAACUUAUCUAGUUUCCAUAAAACUUGAUUCUAAUUAUUAUUUUUCGGUAUUUGAAGCAUAAUUUCCAUCCAAGACAAUAUUUUUGGGGGUUGGUAUAAAUAAUUUCUCAUAUUGAUUGUAAGAACAACUUCUGAUAUUAUUGAGAAUUAAUUUGAGCUGCAAUUCUUGCUUUCCAAUCUUUGAUUUUCUUAGAACAAUUGUUGAGCUUAUCAAGGUGCUUCCUUGUGGCAUUCAAAAUCUGAGUGUGAGUCUUUGGUUGUGUGAUCAAGAGGUUCAUCAUAUUAUUGCUAUUGUGGGCUUCCUUGGUUUGUCAUCUUGGGAUUCAAAUCCAUAAACCGGGGUUAAUUCUUGGCUUUCCUGGGGUUUAACAAUCUUUUGCAGGUUCGUUAGUGAUCGUGCUAACCGGGUUCCCAUCAAUUGGUAUCAGAGCACAUGCUCCAAAUUAAUCGAGGUUAUACCUUUUAUUAUCUUUGAGUCUUUAUAUCUUGUUCUUUCUAUUUUCCGCGUUAUUCUUUUGUGUCCUACAUUAUUGAGUCUCUGAUUUCUUAUCCUUAUUUCGUGUCUUGUUAUUGUUGGUAUUUGAUUCCUAAUCUCCAUGAGUCAAUCAAUAAUUCGUCAAGACUUGCUUAUUUUGCUAGUAGUUAGUUAAUCUUCUCGCACUAAAAAAAAAUGACGAAACAAAAGAGAAAUUAAAAAAAAAUUGUUGUGCUUUUAUUGUUUAAUUUAGUCUAAGCAUGUUCACAAGUUUCUUUGAGUCAUGUUUGUGUCGAUCCAUAAAUUUCAUUUAUCAAUUCGUGAAUCUUGGUAGCUUUCCAUUCAAAUUUUCAUUCCCAUUGUGUCAAAUUCCUAUUAUUAUCAUAACUCUUGAACGCAUCCGGUUUAGAAUCCACAAGGUUAAAUCUUGUUGAGUUCACUUUGUUCUUUGAGACACGUAGACGAAAGCAUUGAGUGAUAAAGGGCAGAGAGGUGAGAUCAAUAGAGGGUAAAAGUCUUACCAUGUGAUUCUGAGUGAAAUAUUAGUGAGGCAAAAAAAAUAAAUUAAAAGAAUUUAGAUUUAGGAUGUUUGAUAGGAAGGUUCCAAUUCUAGUCGUAACGGAAAUCACAUUGAUGCAUAGGAUGAUAUGAUGAGGCGAUUUGAGAGGUUCUUUAUCGAUAUGGAGGAUAGGUUAAAUAAGCUUGAUAGAGAAGUUACAAAACUUAGUAGGGGGCAACAGGCUGAAGUAUCUUACGCUAGGAGACCGGGUAGACGGGAGCCUAGGGUGGAAAGGCGGGAGGCGUAUGAUUACUAUAGUGAACCGAAUGAGGAUGAAUACAAUGAAAUUGAAAUGGGACGGGUGAGGAAUAGAAGUGAUAGGCUUGAACAACACGGAAGAAAUCAUCCUGGUGAUGCAUUAGAUGGCAAUCUAGGUAAUAUAAAAAUGACGAUUCCACAAUUUAGGGAUAGAAGUGACCCCGAAACAUAUUUGGAAUGGGAGAAAAAGGGGGAGUUAAUUUUUGAUUGCCAUAACUAUUCGAAAGAUAAGAAGGUAAAGAUUGCAGUGUUAGACUUCACUGAUUACGCCAUCACUUGGCAGGAUCAAGUGGUCACUUCAUGGCGUCGGAAUCGGGAGAGGCCUAUUAAUACUUGGGACGAAUUGAAGGUGGGGAUGAGGAAGUGAUUUGUGCUUGAUCAUUAUUAUAGGGAACUCUAUCAAAAAUUGCAAAGUUUGUAUCAGGGGUCAAACAGCAUAGAAGAUUAUCAUAAGGGGAUGGAGAUCUUGAUGAUUAGGGCGAAUGUGGAGGAAGAUCGGGAGGCUGCCAUGGCUAGGUUCUUGAAUGGGUUGAAUAAAGAGAUUGCUAAUGUGGUUUUCCAUUUAGGCCGAACCUAAACUUGUCCUCGAGAGAUAGCUGUCCAUACACUUAUAAGGGAUGUGCGGAUUCUCGAGAAGAGAAGAGCCGUGGUGGUCCGCCUCGGAUCUCUCGGAUCCCACGAGUGAAUAUAAAGUUGGAUCUACAUUGGAUCUCACCAAAAUCACCCCAUCUAUCCUCCUGAGGAGAGGUUUGGUUUCAAACCCCGGUUCGAACAGGAGGAGUACGCCAUGCUAAUGUGCCUUGGAUGAUCCACAUCUCCAGUUGAAGAGAAAGGAGACGAUGAGGCAGCCAGUGAAUACUUUGUCUUCUAACCCAAAUUAGAAGUUGAAGUGGGAUAACAAUAAAGGAAAUGGGGCAAUUUUAAGAAUAGGACUGAAUUACCAAAGGGAAAGGAGGAAAGUGCUAGCAAAACCAUACUCAAGACGGAUUCACAACAAUCAAGGAACAUAGAUAUUAAGUGUUUUAAGUGCUUGAGGUCAGGACACAUCGCUUUCAGUGUCCGAACAAAAGAGCGAUGGUGUUGAGGGACAAUGGAGAGGUGGUAAGCGAGAGUGAAAAUGAAUAUGAUGACAUGCCAGAGCUAGAGGAAAUUAACGAUGGGGAGAAAAUAGAAUAUGCUGUAGGAGAUUUGUUGGUCACAAGACAAGCCCUUAACGCUCAAAUCAAGGCGGAUGACUUGGAGCAACAGCGGGAGAAUAUAUUCCACACUCGAUGUCAUGUUAAUGAUAAGGUAUGUAGUUUAAUCAUCGACAGUGGGAGUUGUACAAAUGUGGCCAGCACAACUUUGAUGGAGAAAUUGGGAAUAACUUUAUUAAACACCCUAGACCUUAUAGGCUUCAAUGGUUAAAUGAUUGUGGAGAAGUCAAGGUAAAUAAGAGGGUUUUGAUAAAUUUCUCAAUUAGGAGUUAUCGUGAUGAAGUGGUAUGUGAUGUGGUACCUAUGCAUGCGUGACAUCUAUUUUUAGGGUGACCAUGGCAAUACGACAAAAAGGUUGUUCACGACGGGUACAAGAAUCGAUACAGCUUUGUCAAGGAUGGGAGGUCAAUUAUCCUUGUGCCAUUAAUACCGACAAAAGUGUAUGAAGACCAAAUUAAAUUGAAAAAUGAAGAAGAGAGGAGAGCAAGAGAGCUAGAGAAAAAAAGAGGGAAAACAAUGAAAUAAUGAGUAAGAGAGAAAAUAGUGAGGGGGCGAGUCAAGAGAAAAAGAGAAUGGAGCCCCAAGAGCGAAAAGAAAAAGAGUUUUCCGAGAUGAGAAACAAGUCAAAAGUGAAUUUCUUUACAAAAGAGAUUGAGCUGAGGAGAGCGACACUCAAGAGGAGGGAAAUGAUUUUGUUGGCCUACAAAGAGUCACCCUUAAGUUUUGAGGACUCUAACACAUCCUUCCCCAAUUUGGCUAAGUCUUUAUUACAGGAGUUCAAGGAUAUAUUUCCCGAAGACGUGCCUAGUGGGUUAAAAUUGAUUCAAGGCAUUGACCACUAGAUCGACUUCAUACCUAGAGCUAUCAUUCCAAACUGACCAGCUUACCGAAGCAAUCCUGAGGAGACAAAGGAGUUUCAGAGAGAAGUUGAGGAGUUGAUGAGCAAGGGUUAUGUUAGGGAGAGCAUAAGUCCAUGUACUGUACCAAUUCUGUUAGUGCCAACGAAAGAUGAAACAUGGAGGAUGUGCGUGGAUUACAGGGUCAUUAAUAACAUAACGGUGAAGCAUCGUCACCAUAUCUCUAGGUUAGAUAAUAUGCUUGAUGAAUUAUAUGGUGCAUGCAUAUUUAGUAAAAUUGAUCUUAACAGUGGUUACCACCAAAUUCGAAUGAGGGAAGGUGAUGAGUGGAAAAUUGCAUUUAAGACCAAAUGUAUGAGUGGUUGGUAAUGCCAUUUGGACUCACGAAUGCAUCGAGCACUUUCAUGCGUUUGAUGAAUCAUGUUUUGUGUGCUUUUAUAGAAAAAUUUGUCGUGGUGUAUUUUGAUGAUAUUCUAGUGUAUAGGAAAAACUUAAAUGAACAUGUAAAGUAUUUAAGAAAAGUGCCUUUGGUGUUAAUGAAAGAACAACUCUAUGCUAAUGUUAAGAAAUGUAUAUUUUGCAUGAAAAAGGUUGUCUUUCUAGGAUUUUUGGUUAGUACCAAUGGAGUAAAGGUUGAUGAGAAAAAGAUAAAAGCUAUUAAUGAGUGGCCCACACUAAGAGUAUAACCGAAGUAAGGAGUUUUCAUGGAUUGACUAGUUUCUAUAGGCGAUUUUUGAAAGAUUUUAGAACAAUUACCAUACCACUCAUUGAGAUAGUAAAGAAGAGGGUGGGUUUUCAUUGGGGUAGUGAGCAGGAGCAGGCAUUUAAUACAAGUAAAGAUCAAUUAUGUAAAGCAUCUAUUUUAGCGUUACCUAAUUUUGACAAAACGUUCGAGAUUGAGUAUGAUGCCUUAGAAAUUGGGAUUGGAAUAGUAUUAAUACAGGACAGGAGGCUAAUAGCUUAUUUCAGUGAGAAGCUGCGUGGAGCUGCUUUUAACUACCCUACAUAUGACAAGGUGUUGUACUCGCUUGUUCGAGCUUUAAAGAUUUGACAACAUUACUUGUGGCCUAAGGAGUUUGUAAUAGACACGCAUCAUGAGUCUCUCAAGCAUUUGCGGGGUUAAGGAAAGCUAAACAAGAGUCAUGCAACAUGAAUGGAAUUUAUAGAAACAUUUUCCUACGUCAUUCUCUAUAAGAAAGGUAAAGACAAUGUAGUGGAAGAUGCUGUGUCUCGCAAGUCUGUGUUGCUAACUUCUCUUAGUUCUAAAUUACUUGGUUUCGAGCACAUUAAAGAUAUGCAUGUGAAUGACAUGAUUUUUCUGAUGUGUAUAAAUCAUGUGAUAAGGGGGUUAUAGACAAGUUCUUCAAGCAUGAGGGGUACUUGUUUUGUGAAAAUAAAUUGUUUGUUCCUGAGUUUUCGAUGCGAGAAUUGCUAGUAAGGAAGGCACAUAGCGGUGGAUUGAUGUGACACUUUAAGGUUAAGAAAACUUUAGAAAUGUUAGGGGAGCACUUUUAUUGGCCUAAGAUGAAAACCGACCUUACACGGAUAUAUAGCCAAUGCAUAACUUGUAAGGGGGCUAAAUCUAAGGUUUUACCUCAAGGGUUGUACACACCGUUACCUACUCCUAGUGAACCUUGGGUUGAUAUUUCAAUGGAUUUUGUUUUGGGUUUACCUAGGACUAAGAAAGGACGGGACUCUAUUUUUUUAGUGGUAGAUUGGUUUAGUAAGAUGGCGCAUUUCAUAGCGUGUCAUAAAACUGAUGACACCACUCACAUAGCAGAUUUGUUCUUUAAAGAGAUAGUGCGUUUGCAUGGGGUCCCUAGGGGUAUCGUAUCAAACAGGGAUGUAAAAUUUUUGAGUCAUUUUUGGUGGGUUUUGUGGGGGGUAAAUAAGGCACAAAAUUGUUAUUCCACAACAUGUCACCCUCAAAUCGAUGGGCAAACUGAGGUAGUCAAUAGGACCGUGACUCAAUUAUUACGCACUGUGAUAAAUAAAAACUGAAGAGUUGGGAGGAGUGUCUACCUUUUGUUGAAUUUGCAUAUAAUGGAGCGGUACACUCCGCUACUUCAUUUUCACCUUUUGAAAUCAUUUACGGGUUUAACCUACUAAGUCCUUGGGAUUUGUUACAUUUACCUGUGAAUGAACGAGGUAGCUUAGAUGGUAAGAGAAAAUCUGAGUUGGUAAAGUCACUCCAUGAGAAGGUCAAGAUGCAAAUUGAAGAAAGGAGUAAGCUUAUUGCAUCAAAGGUGAAUAGGGAAAGAAAAUGGAUGACAUUUGAACUAGGUGAUUGGGUCUGGGUACAUUUUAGAAAUGAGCAUUUUCCAGAGCUGAGAAAGUCUAAAUUGCAGCGACGGGGAGAUGGUCCAUUUCAAGUCAUCGAAAAGAUCAACGAUAACUCAUACAAAGUUGAUCGUCCAGGUGAGUAUAAUAUUUCAGCUACAUUUAAUGUGUCUGAUCUCUCUCUUUUUUAUGCCGGUGCAGAUUCGACGACGAAUCCUUUUGAAGAGAGAGGGGAUGAUGUGAUCCAAGAUGCAGGAGUCAUGAAGGCAAGUAUGAAUCAAGACCCGUUGGUUAUCGAAAAAGGCCUGAUGACGCGAUCAAGCAAGAAAGGAGUUAAAGAGGCCAGGGGGAUGCUCGUCAAAGCCACUAUUGAUGGCACUAUGUUCGAGAUGCAAAAUGGAGCAAGUUUCAUGUUGGGUAGAAGGCUGAAGAGCAUUGGAUCAACGUGAUAAAGGUGGACGAUAUGGAAAACGAGCAGUGUGGAUUAAAAUGGGCAUAGCUUUUAGCUUGGGUGUUGAAUUUUGGCCCAUGAGUAUAAUUCGGAAUCAUCACGAAAGCCAUGCGACUGCAUAGGCUAUUACCGAAACAAAACUGAGUCUCACUAUUUGUUCUAUACGACUACGUUGAUUUAUACUAUGCGACCGCAUAGUACAAAUUUCUGGACGCAUUUUCAACUUUUAGUAAUUUAUCCAGUUUCCAUAAAAUUUGAUUCUAAUGGGUUUACAAGAAAAAGGUUGAUAUGGAUGAAAACGUCCAUACAUACCACGCAAGGCUAGUAACGAAGGGUUACACACAAAGACAAGGCGUUGACAUUGAUGAAACUUUUUCACCUGUAGCCAUGCUAAAGUCCAUUCGGAUUUUGCUUGCAAUAGCUGCAUACCAUGAUUAUGAGAUAUGGCAAAUGGAUGUCAAAACUGCUUUCCUUAAUGGAAACUUACAAGAGGAGGUGUACAUGACACAGCUUGAAGGUUUUGAAUCCAAAGGAGCCAACAAAGUAUGUAUGCUAAAUCGAUCCAUUUAUGAAUUAAAGCAAGCCUCUAGGAACUGGAAUCUUCGUUUUGAUGAGACAAUCAAAGGGUUUGAUUUUAUCAAAAAUGAAGAUGAACCGUGUAUUUACAAAAAGACAAGUGGGAGCGCGGUCAUAUUCCUAAUAUUAUAUGUCGAUGACAAAUUAUUAAUGGGAACGAUAUCCCAAUGCUUCAAUCAGUAAAAUUAUGGUUGUCAAAAAAUUUCUCCAUGAAAGAUAUGGGAGAGGCAGCGUAUAUCUUGGGAAUCAAGAUCUAUAGAAAUAGAUCUAAAAGAUUAAUAGGCCUAUCCCAAUCUUCGUACAUAGAUAAAAUCUUGAGAAGAUUUAAUAUGGAAGAGUCUAAAAGAGGUUUAUGUCUCAUGUCACAUGGGAUUUACCUCUCAAAAGAUAUGUGUCCUAAAACAUAUGAUGAAAGGAGUCGCAUGGAUAAGAUUCCUUAUGCUUCGGCGAUAGGAUCUAUCAUGUAUGCGAUGCUAUGUGUGAGAAGAGAUGUUUCAUAUGCUCUAAGUGGUACGAGCAUGUUUCAAGCAAACCCUGGUGAGAAACACUGGAUAGCGGUUAAGAACAUUCUUAUGUACUUGAGAAGGACUAAAGAUGUGUUCUUGAUCUAUGGAGGAAAUGAACUGAAAAUUCAUGGGUAUACUGAUGUCAGCUUUCAAACUGAAAAUGAUGAUAGAAAGUCUCAAUCAGGAUAUAUGUUUACUCUCAACAAUGGAGCGAUUAGUUGGAAAAGUUGCAAACAGGAGACAACCGCUGAUUCAACGACGGAAGCCGAGUACAUUGCUGCUUCUGAAGCAGUGACGAAAGCUGUAUGGAUCAAGAAGUUCGUUAAUGAACUUGGAGUCGUUCCUAGCAUUGUUGAUCCCAAACCUUUGUAUUGUGAUAACAAUGAAGCCGUCGCACAAGCGAAGGAACCCAGGUCUCAUCAACGAUCCAAACAUGUGCUAAGGCGAUAUCAUCUCAUCAGGGAGAUUAUACAAAGAAAUGACGUAACGAUAAAGCGAGUUCCCACAGAUGACAAUAUUGCAGAUCCACUGACAAAGUCGUUGUCACAACAGAAACAUGAUCUUUAUGUGGACGCUUAUGGAAUUAGAUACAUGAGUGAUUGGAUCUAGUGCAAGUGGGAGUUUGUAAGUGUUAUGCCCUAGAUCCAAUCGAUUUAGGUUGUAAACACUUUUAAUAUGUUUAAUGCAUUUAAUUUUGGCAAGAUCUAUUAUUUAUUUAAAUUAAUUUUGUGAUAAGCAAUAUUAAAUAAUAGAGUCCGAAGAUCCAAGUUUAAGUGAUUUGUUAAUCACAAGGAGUUGUGAUUGUAAAAUACAAAUUACGUAUGAUUGGAUCUUGAAUAAUCCAUGGUCGUAAGUAAUAACGAGAUACGGAUAUCGUUAUUACGGACUGACUAUCACGUGUGGCAUUUUUUACUUGUAAAAUAAGUAGCUGAUCUCACAAGUUAAAGUGUGGUGACACUUAAAUGAACACGUGGAUAUUUUGUUAUAGAAUAAAACAUUGGAGACUCGCUAAGAGAUUACACAUAGAUAAUUAUCUGAGUGUCAGUGGUUAAUCUCUAACGUUCGGUAGUGGAAUUUGUCCUGUGACCUAUCAUAGUGCCUUGUAUGAGGACAGUCAUGCUUUGAUGGUGUUGAAUGUUGCUUUACCAAGAGCCACUAAUACGACAUUGUUCGGGUAUGUGAAGAACCAUAUAAAGGUUGUGAAUGACCAAUAGAGAAUUCGUCACUCUUAGAUAAUAAGAGAUUAUGAUCUGCAUUUCGUUCAAUUAAGUCAAUAACGAAAUCCUUGGCCAAGGCGUACACAUAAGUCGAAAAAGAGUUUUCGACUCAUAUUGACUUAAUAGUAGAAUGAAAGAUAUGAUCGAUAGUCAAGAUUGACACACUUCCAUAUCUCGUAGUUGAUCGGAUCAUAUUGACAAAGGGAUUAUAGUUUCAAUAGAGGGUAAAAGUCUUACCGUGUGAUUUUGAGUGAAAUAUUAGUGGGGCAAAAAAAAAUUAAAAGAAUUUAGAUUUAGGAUGUUUGAUAGGAAGGUUCCAAUUCCAGUCGUAACAGAAAUCACAUUGAUGUAUAGGAUGAUAUGAUGAGGCGAUUUGAGAGGUUCUUUAUGGAUAUGGGGGAUAGGUUAAAUAUGCUUUAUACAUCGGUUACAAAACUUAGAAGGGGGCAACAGGCUGAAGUACCUUACGCUAGGAGACCGGGUAGACGGGAGCCUAGGGUGGAAAGGCGGGAGGCGUAUGAUUACUAUAGUGAACCGGAUGAGGAUGAAUACAAUGAAAUUGAAAUGGGACGGACGAGGAAUAGAAGUGAUAGGCUUGAACAACAGGGAAGAAAUAAUCCUGGUGAUGCAUUAGAUGGCAAUCUAGGUAAUAUAAAUAUGACGAUUCCACAAUGUAGGGAUAGAAGUGACCCCAAAACAUAUUUGGAAUGGGAGAAAAAUGUGGAGUUAAUUUUUGAUUGCCAUAACUAUUCGAAGGAUAAGAAGGUAAAGAUUGCAGUGUUAGACUUCACUGAUUACGCCAUCACUUGGCAGGAUCAAGUGGUCACUUCAUGGCGUCGGGAUCGGGGGAGGCCUAUCAAUACUUGGGACGAAUUGAAGGUGGGGAUGAGGAAGCGAUUUGUGCUUGAUCAUUAUUAUAGGGAACUCUAUCAAAAAUUGCAAAGUUUGUAUCAGGGGUCGAAAAGCGUAGAAGAUUAUCAUAAGGGGAUGGAGAUCUUGAUGAUUAGGGAGAAUGUGGAGGAAGAUCGGGAGGCUGCCAUGGCUAGGUUCUUGAAUGGGUUGAAUAAAGAGAUUGCUAAUGUGGUUUCCCAUUGAGGCCAAACCUAAACUAGUCCUCGAGAGAUAGUUGUCCAUACACUUACAAGGAAUGUGUGGAUUCUCGAGAAGAGAAGAGUCGUGGUGGUCCCCCCCGGAUCUCUCGGAUCCCACGAGUGAAUCUAAAGUUGGAUCUACAUUGGUUCUCACCCAAAUCGCCCCAUCUAUCCUCCUGAGGAGAGGUUUGGUUUCAAACCCCGGUUCGAACAGAAAGAAUACGCCAUGCUAAUGUGCCUUGGAUGAUCUACAUCUCCAGUUGAAGAGAAAGGGAACGAUGAGGCAACCAGUGAAUACUUUGUCUUCUAACCUAAAUUAGAAGUUGAAGUGGGAUAACAAUAAAGGAAAUGGGGCAGUUUUAAGAAUAGGACUGAAUUACCAAAGGGAAAGGAGGAAAGUGCUAGCAAAACCAUACUCAAGACGGAUUCACAACAAUCAAGGAACAGAGAUAUUAAGUGUUUUAAGUGCUUGGGGUCAAGACACAUCGCUUUCAGUGUCCGAGCAAAAGAGCGAUGGUGUUGAGGGACAAUGGAGAGGUGGUAAGCGAGAGUGAAAAUGAAUAUGAAGAGAUGCCAGAGCUAGAGGAAAUUAACGAUGGGGAGAAAAUAGAAUAUGCUGUAGGAGAUUUGUUGGUCACAAGACGAGCCCUUAACGCUCAAAUCAAGGCGGAUGACUUGGAGCAACAGCGGGAGAAUAUAUUCCACACUCAAUGUCAUGUUAAUGAUAAGGUAUGUAGUUUAAUCAUCGACGAUGGGAGUUGUACAAAUGUGGCCAACACAACUUUGAUGGAGAAAUUGGGAAUAACUCUAUUAAACACCCUAGACUUUAUAGGCUUCAAUGGUUAAAUAAUUGUGGAGAAGUCAAGGUAAAUAAGAGGGUUUUGAUAAAUUUCUCAAUUAGGAGUUAUCGUGAUGAAGUGGUAUGUGAUGUGGUACCUAUGCAUGCGUGACAUCUAUUUUUAGGGUGACCAUGGCAAUACGACAGAAAGGUUGUUCACGAUGGGUACAAGAAUCGAUACAGCUUUGUCAAGGAUGGGAGGUCAAUUAUCCUUGUGCCAUUAACACCGACAGAAGUGUAUGAAGACCAAAUUAAAUUGAAAAAUGAAGAAGAGAGGAGAGCUAGAGAAAAAAGAGGAAAAACAAUGAAAUAAUGAGUAAGAGAGAAAAUAGUGAGGGGGCGAGUCAAGAGAAAAAAAGAAUGGAGCCCCAAGAGCGAAAAGAAAAAGAGUUUUCUGAGAUGAGAAAAAAGUCAAAAGUGAAUUUCUUUACAAAAGAGAUUGAGCUGAGGAGAGCUACAGUCAAGAGGAGGGAAAUGAUUUUGUUGGCCUACAAAGAGUCACCCCUCAUUUUUGAGGACUCUAACACAUCCUUCCCCAAUUUGGCUAAGUCUUUAUUACAGGAGUUCAAGGAUAUAUUUCCCGAAGACGUGCCUAGUGGGUUAAAAUUGAUUCAAGGUAUUGAGCACAAGAUCGACUUCAUACCUAAAGCUAUCAUUCCAAACAGACCAACUUACCGAAGCAAUCCUGAGGAGACAAAUGAGCUUCGGAGAGAAGUUGAGGAGUUGAUGAGCAAGAGUUAUGUCAGGGAGAGCAUGAGUCCAUGUACUGUACCAGUUCUGUUAGUGCCAAAGAAAGAUGGAACAUGGAGGAUGUGCGUGGAUUACAGAGUCAUUAAUAACAUAACAGUGAAGCAUCGUCACCAUAUCUCUAGGUUAGAUGAUAUGCUUGAUGAAUUAUAUGGUGCAUGCAUAUUUAGUAAAAUUGAUCUUAACAGUGGUUACCACCAAAUUCGAAUGAGGGAAGGUGAUGAGUGGAAAAUUGCAUUUAAGACCAAAUGUAUGAGUGGUUGGUAAUGCCAUUUGGACUCACGAAUGCAUCGAGCACUUUCAUGCGUUUGAUGAAUCAUGUUUUGUGUGCUUUUAUAGAAAAAUUUGUCGUGGUGUAUUUUGAUGAUAUUUUAGUGUAUAGCAAAAACUUAAAUGAGCAUGUAAAGUAUUUAAGAAAAGUGCUUUUGUUAUUAAUGAAAGAACAACUGUAUGCUAAUUUUAAGAAAUGUAUAUUUUGCAUGAAAAAGGUUGUCUUUCUAGGACUUGUGGUUAGUACCAAUGGAGUAAAGGUCGAUGAGAAAAAGAUAAAAGCUAUUAAGGAGUGGCCUACACUAAGUGUAUAACCGAAGUAAGGCAUUUUCAUGGGUUGACUAGUUUCUAUAGGCGAUUUGUGAAAGAUUUUAGCACAAUUACCAUACCACUCACUGAGGUAGUAAAGAAGAGCGUGGGUUUUCAUUGGGGUAGUGAGCAGGAGCAGGCAUUUAUUACAAUUAAAGAUCAAUUAUGUAAAGCAUCUAUUUUUGUGUUACCUAAUUUUGACAAAACGUUCGAGAUUGAGUAUGAUGCCUUAGAAAUAGGGAUUGGAAUAGUAUUGAUGCAGGACAGGAGGCUGAUAGCUUAUUUCAGUGAGAAGCUGAGUAGAGCUGCUCUUAACUACCCUACGUAUGACAAGGUGUUGUACUCUCUUGUUUGAGCUUUAGAGAUUUGGCAACAUUACUUGUGGCCUAAGGAGUUUGUAAUAGACACGCAUCAUGAGUCUCUCAAGCAUUUGCAGGGUUAAGGAAAGCUGAACAAGAGGCAUGCAACGUGAAUGGAAUUUAUAGAAACAUUUUCCUACGUCAUUCUCUAUAAGAAAGGUAAAGACAAUGUAGUGGAAGAUGCUGUGUCUCGCAGGUCUGUGUUGCUAACUUCUCUUAGUUCCAAAUUACUUGGUUUCGAGCACAUUAAAGAUAUGCAUGUGAAUGACAUGAUUUUUCUGAUGUGUAUAAAUCAUGUGAUAAAGGGGUUAUAGACAAGUUCUUCAAGCAUGAGGGGUACUUGUUUUGUGAAAAUAAAUCGUUUGUUCCUGAGUUUUCGAUGCGAGAAUCGCUAGUAAGGAAGGCACAUAGCGGUGGAUUGAUGUGACACUUUAAGGUUAAGAAAACUUUAGAAAUGUUAGGGGAGCACUUUUAUUGGCCUAAGAUGAAAACCGACCUUACACGGAUAUAUAGCCAAUGCAUAACUUGUAAGGGGGCUAAAUCUAAGGUUUUACCUCAAGGGUUGUACACACCGUUACCUACUCCUAGUGAACCUUGGGUUGAUAUUUCAAUGGAUUUUGUUUUGGGUUUACCUAGGACUAAGAAAGGACGGGACUUUAUUUUUGUAGUGGUAGAUAGGUUUAGUAAGAUGGCGCAUUUCAUAGCGCGUCAUAAAACUGAUGACACCACUCACAUAGCAGAUUUAUUCUUUAAAGAGAUAGUGUGUUUGCAUGGGGUCCCUAGGGGUAUCAUAUCAAGCAGGGAUGUAAAAUUUUUGAGUCAUUUUUGGUGGGUUUUGUGGGGGGUAAAUAAGGCACAAAAUUGUUAUUCCACAACAUGUCACCCUCAAAUCGAUGGGCAAACUGAGGUAGUCAAUAGGACCGUGACUCAAUUAUUACGCACUGUAAUAGAUAAAAACUGAAGAGUUUGGAGGAGUGUCUACCUUUUGUUGAAUUUGCAUAUAAUGGAGCUGUACACUCUGCUACUUCGUUUUUACCUUUUGAAAUCAUUUACGGGUUUAACCUACUAACUCCUUGGGAUUUGUUACAUUUACUUGUGAAUGAACGAGGUAGCUUAGAUGGUAAGAGAAAAUCUGAGUUGGUAAAGUCACUCCAUGAGAAGGUCAAGAUGCAAAUUGAAGAAAGGAGUAAGCUUAUUGCAUCAAAGGUGAACAGGGAAAGAAAAUGCAUGACAUUUGAACUACGUGAUUGGGUCUGGGUACAUUUUAGAAAAGAGCAUUUUCCAGAACUGAGAAAGUCUAAAUUGCAGCGACGGGGAGAUGGUCCAUUUCAAGUCAUCGAAAAGAUCAACGAUAAUUCAUACAAAGUUGAUCGUCCAGUUGAGUAUAAUAUUUCAGCUACAUUUAAUGUGUCUGAUCUCUCUCUUUUUUAUGUCGGUGCAGAUUCGACGACGAAUCCUUUUGAAGAGAGAGGGGAUGAUGUGAUCCAAGAUGCAGGAGUCACGAAGGCAAGUAUGAAUCAAGACCCGUUGGUUAUCGAAAAAGGCCUGAUGAUGCGAUCAAGCAUGAAAUGAGUUAAAGAGGCCAUGGGGAUGCUCGUCAAAGCCACUAUUGAUGGCACUAUGUUCGGGAUGCAAAAUGGAGCAAGUUUCAUGUUGGGUAGAAGGCUGAAGAGCAUUGGAUCAACGUGAUAAAGGUGGACGAUGUGGAAAAUGAGCAGUGUGGAUUAAAAUGGGCAUAACUUUUAGCUUGGGUGUCGGAUUUUACUCCAUGAGUAUAAUUAGGAAUCAUCACGAAAGCCAUGCGACUGCAUAGGCUAUUACCGAAACAAAACUGAGUCUCACUAUUUGUUAUAUGUGACUACGUUGAUUUAUACUAUGCGACCGCAGGGUACAAAUUUCUGGACGCAUUUUCAACUUUUAGUAACUUAUCCAGUUUCCAUAAAAUUUGAUUCUAAUGGGUUUGCAAGAAAAAGGUUGAUGUGGCCAUAAACGUCCAUACAUACCACACAAGGCUAGUAGUGAAGGGUUACACACAAAGACAAGGCGUUGACUUUGAUGAAACAUUUUCACCUACAACCAUGCUAAAGUCCAUUCGGAUUUUGCUUGCAAUAGCUGCAUACCAUGAUUAUGAGAUAUGGCAAAUGGAUGUCACAACUGCUUUCCUUAAUGGAAACUUACAAGAGGAGGUGUACAUGACACAGCCUGAAGGUUUUGAAUCCAAAGGAGCCAACAAAUUAUGUAAGCUAAAUCGAUCCAUUUAUGAAUUAAAGAAGCCUCUAGGAACUGGAAUCUUCGUUUUGAUGAGACAAUCAAAGGGUUUGAUUUUAUCAAAAAUGAAGAUGAACCGUGUGUUUACAAGAAGACAAGUGGGAGCGCGGUCGUAUUCCUAAUAUUAUAUGUCGAUGACAAAUUAUUAAUGGGGAACGACAUCCCAGUGCUUCAAUCGGUAAAAUUAUGGUUGUCAAAAAAUUUCUCCAUGAAAGAUAUGGGAGAGGCAGCGUAUAUCUUGGGAAUCAAGAUAUAUAGAGAUAGAUCUAAAAGAUUACGAGGCCUAUCCCAAUCUUCGUACAUAGAUAAAAUCUUGAGAAGAUUUAAUAUGAAAGAGUCUAAAAGAGGUUUAUGUCUCAUGUCACAUGGGAUUUACCUCUCAAAAGAUAUGUUUCCUAAAACACAUGAUGAAAGGAGUUGCAUGGAUAAGAUUCCUUAUGCUUCGGCGAUAGGAUCUAUCAUGUAUGCGAUGCUAUGUACGAGAAGAGAUGUUUUAUAUGCUCUAAGUGGUACGAGCAUGUUUCAAGCAAACCCUGGUGAGAAACAAUGGAUAGUGGUUAAGAACAUUCUUAAGUACUUGAGAAGGACUAAAGAUGUGUUCUUGAUCUAUGGAGGGAAUGAACUGAAAAUUCAUGGGUAUAUUGAUGCCAGCUUUCAAACUGAAAAAGAUGAUAGAAAGUCUCAAUCAGGAUAUAUGUUUACUCUCAACAAUGGAGCGGUUAGUUGGAAAAGUUCCAAACAGGAGACAACCGCUGAUUCAACGACGGAAGUCGAGUACAUUGCUGCUUCUGAAGCAGCGACGAAAGCUGUAUGGAUCAAGAAGUUCAUUAAUGAACUUGGAGUCGUUCCUAACAUUGUUGAUCCCAUACCUUUGUAUUGUGAUAACAAUAGAGCCAUCGCACAAGCGAAGGAACCCAGGUCUCAUCAACGAUCCAAACAUGUGCUAAGGCGAUAUUAUCUCAUCAGGGAGAUUAUACAAAGAAAUGAAGUAAUGAUAAAGCGAGUUCCCACAGAUGACAAUAUUGCAGAUCCACUGACAAAGUUGUUGUCACAACAGAAACAUGAUCGUCAUGUGGACGCUUAUGAUAUUAGAUACAUGAGUGAUUGAAUCUAGUGCAAGUGGGAGUUUGUAAGUGUUAUGCCCUAGAUCCAAUCGAUUUAUGUUGUAAACACUUUUAAUAUGUUUAAUGCAUUUAAUUUUGGCAAAAUCUAUUAUUUAUUUAAAUUAAUUUUGUGAUAAGUAAUAUUAAAUAAUAGAGUCUGAAGAUCCAAGUUUAAGUGAUUUGUUAAUCACAAGGAGUUGUGAUUGUGAGAUACAAAUUACAUAUGAUUAAAUCUUGAAUAAUCCAUGGUCGUAAGUAAUAACGAGAUACGGAUAUCGUUAUUACGGAUUGACUAUCACGUGUGGCAUUUCUUACUUGUAAAAUAAGUAGCUGAUCUCACAAGUUAAAGUGUGGUGACACUUAAAUGAACACGUGGAUGUUUUGUUAUAGAAUAAAACAUUGGAGACCCGCUAAGAGAUUCCACAUAGAUAACUAUCUGAGUGUCAGUGGUUAAUCUCUAACGUUCGGUAGUGGAAUUUGUCCUGUGACCUGAGGUCAUCAUAGUGCUUUGUAUGAGGAUAGUCAUGCUUUGACGGUGUUGAAUGUUGCUCUACCAAGAGCCACUAAUACGACAUUGUUCGGGUAUGUGAAGAACCAUAUGAAAGUUGUGAAUGACCAAUAGAGGAUUCAUCACUCUUAGAUAGUAAGAGAUUAUGAUCUGCAUUUCGUUCAAUUAAGUUAAUAACGAAAUCCUUGGCCAAGGCAUAUACAUAAGUCGAAAAGGAGUUUUCAACUCAUAUUGACUUAAGAAUGAAAGAUAUCAUCGAUAGUCGAGAUUGACACACUUCCAUAUCUCGUAGUUGAUCGGAUCAUAUUGACGAAAGGAUUAUAGUUUCAUGGUAAACGAACAGUUUUGGUUUUGUCAUACCACAUGACAUUUCCCGUCACAUGUGUUGCCGUGAUACAUUGCUAGAUGUCAAUCUGGGACGACGAGUGUGAAUUUGUGAUAAAUUAAAAGAGUGUUUAAUUUAUCAAUUUUGAUUAGAUCAAAAUAAUAUUUCACGUCGUUAGGUAUCGUGGUCGGGAACCUAAUGGGUCGCACACAAAAGAGAAUUGGAAGAUUGCAAAUUGGAUUAGUUAUUUAUAACCCCAAAUUAAUUAAUUAAAGGACCUAAUUUAAUUAAAUGGAUUAAUUAAUUAAAGGACCGGACCGGGCCGAGCCCGUUUGGGCUUAUAUAGAUACAUGGCUAGGGUUUAAGGUCCAUGUUGUUUUUCAUAAUUCUUGCUGGCACAAGUGGAAAAAACCGAGCAGUAGCAGUCUAUUCUCUAUGUGGAUUUCAUUGGAGGCUGGACAAUUGGACAGCUGUGGGAGGCAGAUUCAAGUUGCUGGAAAAGGGAUAACGCAAAUGAGUUUGCAAAAUCAAGAAAAAGGUAUAAUUCUCAUCACAGUUCUUAUCUAAAUACAAAGAUGAAUCCUAGUGGGAAUUGAAACUGUUUUAUUUUCGCUGCACAUGUUUAAGUAAAUUCCCAACAGUACCAACUAAGAGACAUUAAUUUUUCUAGAUGUGCCGGUUUCCAGUAAUAUUAAAUAGCAAAAUCAGUUUAUAUAGAAGUGCCAACAUUCUGGUAAAAAUAUUCGGAAUGUAGGCAAAAAAGGUAAUUGAUGUUUCUCCCGAACAAUAUAAAUUCUUACAAUUUCUAAUGGAAGAUGAUAAUAACAUCAUUUCUACUUAUCAUCAUCAUCAUCUUUAAUACUUGCAAAUGUAACUCCAUUAAUCGUUCCUAGAUAUCCUAAAUGCUUCAAAGAAUUCAUGCACUAAACAUUCUUAUGAAAGCAAUCCCAAUUCACAAUUACAUAAGUGAUCUCCUAUUCAGAGUACCAUUACACCACACUUAGUUUGUUUAUGUAAGCUAUAUGGAUAAUUAAAACUUUAACUAAUCAUAAACAAUUCUUAGAUAGCACAUUUCUUAUCAUAAAAUGGAUAUGAGUUAUAUUUCAAGUGCUCAUUGAUUUUUUAUAACUUGGUUAUCCCAUUGAACUAACAUCUUGGGAUUUUCAAUCAACACUGUUGGGUUAUCAUUAUUAAAAGAGAAAAUUGCAGCAUAGCCCCCAAACCUUUAAAAUAAUAGCAGACUUUCCCCAAACCUUUAAUUUGUUGCAACCGUCACCCCCAAACCUUUAAAAACGUUGCAGCAGAGGCCCUUUUUGACGAUUUUCAUCCAAAUAUCUGUUAGUUGACUAAGAAAUUGACUUUGACCAUAUUUUUAAUAUUUUUGAAAGAGUAACAUAGUAAAUUUCCAUUUAUUACAUUAAAAUAUGUUAGAAAUUAAAUUUUAAAAAAUAAGAAUAAGAAAAAAAAAAUCAUUGUCUUCUUCCCAAAUGAGCCACAGCAUCCAUGAAUCUCUUCUGCAGUUGAGGAAUCCAAAAAAGUCGUGGCUGCUUUAGGGUCCGAGCCAGCUCCUUCGACCCCAAUCCACCUCUGACACUGGCUACUACACCAUCACCACCCCUUCUCGACCCAAUCAACUCAACUGGGUUGAUUUCUGUGGAAGAGUUAGGUUGAGAAGAGUACGAUGUGGUCUGUGAUAGUGGCGGAGUGCUCUGAUGGGUGUGAUUUGGUAGUGGGUUUCGAAUAUGAAAGACUAGUGCAAGCUUAGGGGUUAUAGGGUUUGUGAUAAAGGCAUCAACUCUAUGAUGGCAAUUCCUCUUCCCAUUUUGCAAACCAAUUCGAAUGCCCCUCUCCCCCCGCAUUUUCCACUUAAUUUUUUUUUAAAUAGACAGUUUAUUGGGAAUCAAACUAUAUGUGUUGAUUUGUUUUUGAAGAUUUUGCCAAGAUAAAUAUAAAAAUUCAAAGUGGGAAGCAAAACCAUAAAUUAAAUGAAUUUGCAGAGAAAUUUUUCAAGAGAAAUUUCUUUUUUCUCCCUCUAUCAAGAAAGACGGUGGUGGCGACGCUGGUGGUCGAUUAUUGAAGUUGGAUUCGAGGUGGGGGUAGGGGUGGAGGUUGGGUGUGGUGGGUUUUGGGAAGAAGACGAUGGUUUUUUUGUUUCUUAUUCCUAUUUUUUUUAUUUAAUUUCUAACGUAUUUAAUGUAAUAAAUAGAAAUUUACCAUUUUACCCUUUCAAAAAUAUUAAAUAUGGUCAAAGUCAAUUUUUUAGUCAACUAACAGAUAUUUGGAUGAGAACUGUUAAAAAUUUCAUUUCUUCUUGUGUGGUCUCCUCCGUGCACGGAAUCCUCUUUCUUUUUUUCUUCUUUUUUAAAUAAAAGUUAAUACCUCUUUAUACUAUAUAAACUAACUACAAUGAUAUAUAUAUUUUUAAUUUUUAAAUUUUUAAUUUUUUUACAACUUGAAGCAAACUUUUUACUAUGUAAAGAAAUAUACUUAAAACUUUGAGUUAAUAUUUAAUCUAAAGUAAUAUUUAGAUAAAUUUAAUUUAAAAAAUUCAAUAUUACUAAAAAUAUUACUAUAAAAUUAAAUAUUGUCUGAAAUUAUUAGAUAUAUCCAACUACGAUGAUAUAGUUUUUUUUUUAGUUUUCUAUAUCUAUAAUAAUGAAAAAAAUUAAAAUCCAUGCACUCUAUACACACAAGAACACGUCGUUUUUGCUCCCCACUUAGAAAAAAAUGAAAUUUUAAAUAAUUGAAAAAAAAGUUACGCCAUACUGAAUAAUUUUUUUGAGUAAAAUGAUGUAUUGAGAAAAAUGUUGCGAAAAAAUAAUAAAUAGUAAUAAAAAAUUGAUUUUUUUAAGAAAAAAAUGACUUAUACGCAUUUUUUUAACACAUACAUUUAAUAUCCGUUCAACUAUUUUCGAUAUUUAUUUACAUCAUUAAAUGUCUCUACGAUAUAGUUCGCAAAAUGAGUUUCGAGAUAAUGUAAAACAUUUAUGAUUCGUACAAUUGUCGACGAAUUUUUAAAGUUAGCUUGUUAUCGAAAAUUUUGAAAUAAUAAUAAAAUAAUUGAUUUUUUUAAGAAAAACGAUUUAUGCGUAUUUUUUAACACAUACGUUUAAUGUCCAUUUAACUAUUUUUUAUUUUUUUAAAAUAUUUGUGUUGUUUACAUUAUAAAUUUUUUUUCAAUUUAAAAUUCUUUUCUCUUAAUAAUUCCAAACAGAAACUUAGAUUUGAGAAAAAAAAUUCUGUAGUUUUACGUCAUAAAUAAUAGUUUUGUCAAUUUAAAAUUCUUUUUAAAUUUUUUCUUCAAAUUUUUUAUUAUUAAUCAGUAUUUUUUAAUAGUUUGAGAUAAAAUUUAAUUUUCUAGUAAUAAUUCAAUAUAUAAAAUGAUGAAAAAAUAUAUAUUCACUCCGUGCAUGGAGAAAAAAAUUUCCGUCAUACCAUAUAAUUUUUUUGAGCAAAAUGAUGCAUUGAGAAAAUUGUUACAAAAAAAGAAUAAAUAGUAAUAAAAUAAUUGAUUUUUUUUAAAAAAAAACGACGUAUACGCAUUUUUAACACAUACGUUUAAUCUCCGUUUAACUAUUUUAGAUAUUUAUUUAGAUCAUCUGAUAUCUCUACGAUAUAGUUCUCAAAAUGAAUUUCAAGAGAAUGUAAAAAAUUUAUCAAUUCGACUAUCGUACAAUCGUCGACAAAUUUUUAAAGUUGGCUUGUUAUCGAAAAUUUCGAAAUAGUAAUAAAAUAAUUGAUUUUUUUAAGAAAAACGACUUAUGAGUAUUUUUCAACACAUACGUUUAAUGUCCGUUUAACUAUUUUCGAUAUCUAUUUAGAUCAUUCGAUAUCUCUACGAUAUAGUUCUCAAAAUGAGUUUCGAGAGAAUGUAAAACAUUUAUCGAUUCGACUAUCAUACAAUUUUCGAUGAAUUUUUAAAGUUAGCUUGUUAUCGAAAAUUUCGAAAUAAAGUUUGAAAAUGCCUACUUUGACGUCCCAUAACAUUUGCUACGAUUGACCGUUUCACGCACCGUUAACGACGUGCAAUACUAUGUUGCGAGUACUUCAAAACGAUAUUAAGAAUGUAAGAUUUCGACUUCGUUUGAUAUCCCGUAAUGAGCCUGAAAAUGAACACAAAAAUAUAAGUAAAAAAAAAUUCAUGGUUGCCGUGCACGGAGCCUUUGGGUCUCCGUGCACGAAGUAUCCGCACGGAGAGAUUUUUUUUUUUUUUUUUUUUUGCUUUGUAGUUUUACGUUAUAAUUUUUUUAUUUAAAAUUCUCUUUAAUUCUUUUCUCUUCAAUUUUUUUACCUACAAGUAAUAUGUCGUAAAAAAAUUUAUGUCGCAUAUUAUCUCUAUCUUUUUUUUUUAAUUAUACAAAAGUGAUUUUUUUCUUAUAUCUCUACUAUAUAUAUCUAUAUCAGAGUACAGGAGGAAUGGAAAUUGCGUGUUGCAGUAAAUUUGGAAGUAGUGUAUAAUAAAAUAAAAUAUAUAUCAUGCAAACAGCAUCGUUUUUGGGCCCCCCCCCCCAAAAAAAACAAAACAAAACAAAAAUGAUAUAGUAAAAAUGGAUCAAAACACUGUUACUUUCUACAGUGCCCUCACAUUCCCCUUUUUUAUAUAGUAGGGAAAUACUCUAUUUUUAAAAAAUGUAGGGGUAUUUAGCACCACAUGACAUAUAAAAAGUAAGAAUAUGAGUCACAUGUAAAAUGACAUAUCAAUAAACAUUACUUGUAUUAGAUAGCAUUCAUGUUUUAACACACACGGUCUUCUUUUCCUUCAAAUUCAGAAAAUAUUCCUCUUCAAAAUCAUUUUCUCCUUAAAAAUUCAACUUUUCUUUUUAAAUUUAAGGCCAUCUCUUCUCCGUAAUUGAUCUCCGAUGCACCCAAAGUUUUAACAUUUUUCACAACUAGCAACUAGUCGAAAACAAUUACUGAGCCAUUUAUUUAUUAGACACAUAUUAUAACACACGGAAUUUUUUUAAAUUCAUAUCUUAUUUAGAGUCCAAUAAUUAGAGUUUGAUAAAAAGCGAUGUAGUAUAUCGAUAUUGGACUCAUUUUAAAGCUUAUAAUUAGUAAGAACUAUUCGAAUCGAGAAAAAGUCUAUUUGGAUAAACCAGUACCAAAAUAUUGCAGUUUGAAGAAAUCUUAAAAUAUAACUUAUCAACUUAUAAAAAUGUGGAUGGAAAUGAGCUGCUGACACUGUUUUACUUAUUUGCAUAACGACAUUGAAAUCGUUCCGGAAAUAUAAAACGACUUCGAUAUCGUUUCAACAUCAAAUACACUCUGCUUAACUGAUUUGUAUGACGACAUUGAACUCGUUCCUAAAAUACUAAAAACGGUGUAUAUGUCAUUUUCGAUAACAAAUACACAUUGCUUUACUGUUUAAUAGGUUUAGGUGCAUGCCAUGGAAUAAGUAAACAACAUUUAUGUUAUUUCAAUACAAUUUUCGACGACAAUGAUAUCGUUCCCAUUCAAAUCAUAACUAUAAUGUCAUACAUAUCGUUUCAGGAAUGGUUACACUAGAACGUUAUAACUACGAUAUUAAAUGUAAUUGAAAUUUACAUAUUUUCGUGACUUUUUAUAAUUUUCAAGUUUAUGUAUUGUACAUAUUCAGAAUAUGAACAUUGCGCAUAUUCAUGUAACGAUAUACACUUCGUUCCGGUGACACAUAAAGUAGUUGAUGUCGUUCUAGUAUGAAAUGCUCUUAUUCUAAUAACGACUUUGAAAUUUUCCUCGAGGCACAAAAUAAUAACUGGAACGACUUAUGUAUAGUUUCUUUUCAAAUUUAACGAGUUUGAAAUAUUUACAGUUCAAAUAAUAAUUAGAACGACAUAUGAUGAUCGAAAGAAGGCAUCAAGUGAAUUGAUAGCACUCGAAUGACUCAGAAAAAGCUGAUGGAGAUACCAUCUUUCUUUCUAUUGAAUGAGAUCGAACUUACUUAAUGACUUAUUUUGUCAUCCUAUGUAUGAUAAAUUUAUGUUAGAUGACUGUGGACGAUCGAAUCAUUGUUUUUAUAAUUAUCAUUUUAUAUAAAGUAAGACGAUAUAUAUAUAUAUAUAUCGUUUUAGUUAUGAUUUAAGUUAAAACGAUAUCAAUAUCGUCAAACUUGUAUUGAAAUGAUAAUGAUGUCAUUAUGUAUCAAAAUCACAAAUAAAGUAACGAAAUUCAUAUCAUUUUAGUAUAAAUUUGACGAGUUUAAAAUCGUUUCAGUUCAAAUAAUGACUAUAACGACAUAGAUAUCAUUUAUUUUCUUAUAAAACUUUAAUUAUAUUGUUUUGAUUAAAAAUAACGAUUCAACCAUCCAUUACCACUCAACACAUCUUUAACACACCUAGGACGAUCGAAAGAGGUUAUCAAGUGAGUCGAUGCUAUUUGAAUGGUUUAGAAAGAACGAACGAAGAUACUUCUUUCGGUCAGAAUAGUUUGAAUAUUGCAUACAAUCGUGGGAACAGAAAUAUUCUCAUAAUUUCUUUUGAGUGAGAUCGAACCCACUUGAUUACCUAUUUUACACAUCUUACAUAUGUCAGAUGCAUAUUUGGUGGUUGUGGAUGAUCGAAUCGUUGUUUUUAACAGAAACGAUAUAACUAUCGUUUUAUUUUAACUGCAACGAUAUGUAUGCAAUUUCAGUUAUGAUUAAGCUAAAAUGAUAUUAAUAUCGUCAAAUUUGUAUUGAAACGAUAAUGAUGUCAUUAUAUAUCAAACUCAAGAAUAAAAUAACGACAUUUAUAUCGUUUUAUUACAAAUUUGACAAAUUUAAAAUCGUUCCAAUUCAAAUAAUAACUAUAACGACAUAGAUAUCGUUUCUUUUUAUAUAAAACGUUAAUUAUAUCGUUUUGACUAAAAAUAAUGAUUCAACCGUCCACAACCACUCAACAUAUCUUUAACAUACCUAAGAUGGUCGAAAGAGAUCAUCAAGUGGGAUGAUGCCAUUCGAAUGGUUUAAAAAUAAUGAACGAAGAUACUUUUUUCUGUCAAAAUAGUUUGAAUGUUGUAUACAAUCAUGAGAAUAGAAAUAUUUCCAUAGAUUCUUUUGAGUGAAAUCGAACCCACUUGAUUACCUAUUUUGAGUAUUCUGCAUAUGUCAGAUGCAUGUCUGGUGGUUGUGGACGGUUGAAUCAUUAUUUUAGUUAAAACAAUAUAAUUGUCGUUUUAUUUUAACUGCGACGCUAUUUAUGUAGUUUUAAUUAUGAUUUAAGCUAAAACGAUAUGAACGUCAUCAAACUUGUAUUGAAACGAUAAUGAUGUCGUUAUGUAUCAAACUCACAAAUAAAGUAACGACAUUCAUAUCCUUUUAUUACAAGUUUGAAAUCGUUCUAAUUUAAAUCACAAGUAUAACGACAUAGAUAUCGUUUCUUUCAUAUAAAACGAUAAUUAUAUCAUUCUGGCUAAAAAUAACGAUUCGACCGUCUACAACCACCCAUCAUGUCUUCAACAUACGUAGGACGAUCGGAAGAGGUCAUCAAGUGGGUUGUACCACUCGAAUGACUUAAAAAAAACCGCGAACGAAGAUACUUGUUUCUGUAGGAAUAGUUCAAUGUUGUAUAUAAUCGUGGGAGCAAAAAUAUUCCCAUAAUUUCUUUUGAGUGAGAUUAAAUCCACUUGAUGACCUAUUUCAAUCAUUCCAUAUAUGUCGAAUACAUGUCAGGUGAUCGUGGACCGUCGAAUCGUUGUUUUUAGUGGAAACGAUAUACAUAUCUUUUUAUAUAAACUUAAACGAUAUAUACGUUGUUUUAUUUAUGAUUUAAACUGAAACGAUAUCGAUAUUGUCAAAAUUGUAUUGAAACGAUAAUUAUAUCAUUAUGUAACAAAUUACAAAAUAACAUUAUGAUGUCCAUAUUAUUUUAGUACAAAUUUGAUAUGUUUGAAAUCGUUCAAAUUCGAAUGAAAAAUACAACAUAAAUAUAUAAUGAUAUCAAUAUCAUUACCGCUUGAGAGCAAAUGAUCCCUUAAAAGCGAGUGCAACGACUCCUUAUUUCGCAUGCGCUAUGUAAGUUUUUUAUAUAAUGACAUCAUUGUCAUAUUAUUGGUCUAUAAUGACUGCAAUGUCAUUAUGAAAAUCAAUAAAGUGGCGUAUUUUUAUACUAGAACAACAUCACUUUCAUUUUGUGUCUCCGAACGAUUUCAAUAUUUUUAUGUAAAAUAGUGCAAUUUUUGUAUUGAAACAACAUCAAUAUCAUUUUAUUUUUCAGAAACAAUUUCAACGUCGUUAUAUGAAUCUAUGCAUUUUUCAUAUUGGAACAACAUAUGCGUCAACUAUAACGGUAUAAAAGUUGUUUGCCUGUAAUGUGAAAAAAUACAACAAUGUAAAAAGACUUUAACUUUAUUCUAAUAGCAUAAAAACGAGAAUAGCACAACGACUACAAAAUCUAAUAAAUCAUUUUGUGCUUCCAAUAAGUACAAAAUAAUAAAAUUACAAUUCACGACAAUAGCCCCAACUUUAAAUUUUAAUACCAGCUAUUUGACAUCUACAAGUGGAGCUAACAUGACUAAUUUUUUUUUUACAGUUGAAGCCUUAGACAUUAUAGGGACAAAAGUUGACAUCUCCAUUUGGUACAGCAUUGUAUCGACCUUUAACAUCUCUCUAACUUUAUACAAACUUACAUAAGAAAUUAUUUUUAAAACAAGAAUGACAGAUAUUUCCCCUUUGCCAUUCAUUGUAUUUUUUCAUUUUCAAACUAAUUGCUCAUGUUCAGCUAGAUAACAAAUUGAAUCUAUAAUAUAUCCAUGAUAGCCAUAAUUGCAAUUAACAUAAAAAUUGUAGAUUUUUUUUUUAUCAAAUAUCAAACUUCGUACAUUAUUGAUAACGAGAUUUAUGUCGUUAUGGUUUGUAGAAAACGACAUGUAAAACAUUCUGGACGGAAAAAAUGAAAUACAUGUUUCAUAGUAGAACAACAAAUAGAAUAACCAAACAUGUGUUUUCCUAAAUAUUCACUUAAAAAAAUAAGAGCUAAUGAGAAAUUGAGAAAGAAACCCAUAUCAAAGCUAUAAUUCGAUGAUAUAAAAAAACAAAAAUCAAAAAUCAAAGCCAUUACUAACAAAUAAACACCACAAACAUGAAUCACAACAUGUGGUUCAGAAAAAUUCAGAAACUUAGCCAAAAUAUUGAAAUUUAACAUUACAUUCUCUUCUUCUUCAAAUACCCAUCAAGAAUAUUAUAAACUUUCAUUACUUACUUCAACCAAGUGAGUGUUUAAGAGAAUGACAAUAAUAUAUUUUGAGAUUUCAUGAAAAAAAGAUGAUAAAAAAGAAAAAGAAUAGCAAAAAAAUGACCUAUCAAAUUGUGAAAAGAAGGAAAUCAAAAUUGAAUUAGGGCUAAAUGAAAAUUGAAAGGAAAAUUAGGGCAUUAUGUCUUUUACAUACAAGGAUAUUUUAGUAAUUUCAAAAUUGCAUUUCCCUUUUCUUUGUAUCCUA